This 76312-nucleotide long non-coding RNA is filed under the name Marmota monax (woodchuck). Lineage: Eukaryota; Metazoa; Chordata; Mammalia; Rodentia; Sciuridae. The record is from RNAcentral.
GCUGUCUGCAAACUAAGAAGAGUACUCACAAAAAACCACAUCCAAUGGCCUUGGACUUCCAGCCUCCAGAAUCGUGAGUAAACAAAUGUCUCUUAUUUGUGACAUUCUGUUAUGCUGGGCUAGCCAACAAAUACAAAUAUGUACUAUGUGAAAUGGCCUUUGCCUUUGGAGGUUGUAUGGUUUCAUUGGGAUUUUGUUGUUUGGGUCCCUUUCUUCGAGAUGCCUUUUUUAGUACUGGGAUUGAACCCAGGGACACGUAACCACUGAGCCACAUCCCCAGCCCUUUUUAAAAAAUGAUUUAUUUAGAGACAGGUUCUUGCUGAGUUGCUUAGGGCCUCACUAAUUUGCUGAGGCUGGUUUUGAACUCAGGAUCCUCCUGCCUCAGCCGCCCAAGCCUCUGGGAUUACAGGCAUGCACCACCAUGCCCAGCUUUAAGUAGCAUUUCUUUCCAUGACAAUAUGGUAUAAGAUUAAAGUUGAGAACUUCUCAGAAGAUUUGAGAGAAAACAUCCCUCAUCUUUCAUUAAAGAUCACUUUUACUCCUUCCUAUUCCUCUUUCUCCCUCCAGAAAUUGUACAUCCAUGAGGCAAGUGGAAGAGAAAUCAUUCUCCAGCUUCUGUAGCACAAGCUGUCUGCCACAAAUAGACUCAUGUCCCUGGUAGCUCCAACCAGGCUGAAAGGGAGGCUGUAGGCACUGAAUUUCCCAGCUCUUCAGUUUACCACAUUAGUAUAUUAAAAUUUCUUAAAAUUUAAAUAGGCAUGUGCACACACAUGCACACACAUGACUUUGAGGUUUCUCAGUAUUAUCAUGACUUUCUUUUCACAAAGGUUAAUAUUCAGAAAGGGUUUGAUUUUUCCAAUUGAAGAGUUUUUUUUCUCACAAAUAGUACUGCUUACAUUAUUAAAAUAAGGUACUCUGAGCAUGCAUUUGCAUUGCAAAAGGUAGGGAGAGUUCAAUUUAUAUGAACCAAAUUGGGGCUCCUAGUUCAUUAACUCUGGGCAUUGAGGCCUGUCACCAUGACCAUCAAUUGCAUGCAAUUGUGCCCCAUACGGGGCCCUCCACCUCACAUAUAUGUCCUGUUGUUGAAUGGAACCUGGGCAGGGGUGCCAUCCUGGCAGGUCCUAGAAGAUUUUUAUGGGCAAGUAGAAGUGGGAGUCAGAAUUCAGGAAAGAGGCAAGAUGGAAAUUUGACUGAAGGAAAGGAUACCAUAGUGUGAUGGUUUGGAUAUAAGGUGUCCCCCAAUAAGCUCCUGUGAUAGAUAAUGUAGCAAUGUUCAGAGGUGAAAUUAAGAUUAUGAGAGCUGUAACAUAAUCAGUGGAUUAAUCCAUUUGGUGGAUUAAUAAUUUGAAAGAACUACUGUACUAGGUGAUAACUGUGGGGAAGUGGGGUGUGGCUGGAGGAAGUAGGCCACUGAGGGCAUGCUCUUGACAUUUAUAUUUUAGUGGCUUGUCUCCUCUCUCUAUUUCUGUUUCCUGGCUGCCAUGAGCUGAGCAGCUUUGCCUCUAUUGCCUCUUUCUGCCAUGAUAUUCUGCCUCCCCUGGAGCCCAGAUCAAUGGAAUUGGCCAACCAUGGACUAAACCUCUAAAACUAUGAACCAAAAUAAACUUUUCCUCUUCUAAGUUCUUGUCAAGCAUUUUGUUCCCAGUGGCAAAAAGCUGUCUAUACACAUGGUGUGGUACAUUCUUUCCUCUUCCCUUAGUUUCUUAAGAAAGUCAGGAAGGAAGUGCUGGAGGAAAAGUUAGAGGAAGGAGAACACUAAGCUUUCUAAACUGACAGUUCAAAUUUUAUUUAUGAUUCUUAAAGAAUUACAAAUACUAAUAACAAUGAGUAAGGUUUCACAAAUGUUACAUCUUUGCAACUUAAAAUUGUAUGUGCAAGGAGCUUAAGUCAGACAUCUGCUGGGCUGAGUGACAUUUAGAACCACUCAUUGUAUAAACAGUGUUCCCAGAAGAAGAAAUAUAGAUGGCCAAAAAAAUGUGAAAUACUGAGGUUGCUAAAAAUUAUAGAAAGGUAAUUUAAAGCAUAUAUCUCUCUUUGGGCACUAAAAAUUAUAGAAAUGUAAUUUAAAGCAUAUAUCUCUCUUUGGGUAUAUACAUACAUAUACAAGUAUGUAUCUGUAUAUUUUUUUUUGCCUCAAAGUUCAACAUGUUCAUCCUGACACUCCAGUAAAAUGAAAGAUAAAUACAAGAAAGAGAAAGUCAAAGGAUCUAAGAAACAUUAGAAAUCCCUUAAGGAUGUAAUUAAAAUUAAAAAGGCAUUGUGAUAGUUGUGGUACAUACCCAGAAGACAGUAAUGCAAAAUUUAGAAAGUUGUAUGCUUCAGAAAUUGGUUGAUCUUCAUGAUAUGAUAAAGAGGAUAUAUGUUUCUAAUGUCAACUAGCUAAAAAAUAUCAAAAGCAAGUAGAAACCUCAGAAAAAUCAAGAAGCAGAUAAAAAUCCUAAUCUAAAUGAGAAGCGAUCUAAAUUAAGGCAUAGUUUUGAGGAACUGAUUAGAGUAAGGAAAGACAAUUUAUUUAAUUUUUCCUUUUAAACAUUUUCUUUGGAGUGGCCUAGGAUUCUCUGCUUUCUUACCAGAUUCCUCAGUAAAUGAUUUAAAUAUCUACAGAGUUAUAAAACUCCCUGUGAGUUAUCAACACUUUAAUCAAUCUUUGGACAAAAGCAGAGAAGACAACUUUGGUUUACAAACAGAAUAUAGUUAUUAAAAAUCCAUUAAAUAUAAAAGGGAAUGAUAGUGAUGACGGAAAUCAGGAGGUGAAGGAAAUGGGAGGAAAGGAGGGAGGAGUAGAUGGGGAGUUUCUCAUUCCAGUAGGGAACCAAGGAGAAUACAGACUAAAGUGUGAGAAGAGACAGAGGGUGAGAGGAUGAGGGAGCACAAACCCUCAUGUAGCAGGAGGCAGUAAAUACUGUUGCAAGUUCAUAAAUAAAAGAUUAGAGACAUAACCAUGUUAUUAAUAUUUUCUGGCAACCACCAGAAGAACAUUACCCAGAACUGGCAAAAAUCAGUUAUAAUAGGGAGUGGAUGGAGAGAGGAGGAGUGGAAGGAGGAGAGUUUUCUUAAUGUUCUCCACUACUUGAAUUGGAUUUUCAUCACAAGUAGAUAUUAAUUUUUUAAAAAAUGGAAAUAAUAGCACUGCAAAGUGUUUGCAUUGGCAAAGAAAACAGGUCCUCUUCUACUCUGCAAAAGUGAAAACUGAACUUUAUUUUAUUUAUUUAUUCUUAUUAGUGCUUUAUGGUUUACCAUAGUAGUUGGGUUCAUCCUGACAAUCUCAUACAUGCAUGGAAAUUGAUUUCAGUUUAUGAUUCCCCUUUUUUUCCCCUCUGAAAAUUGAACUUUAACAGGCAAUUCUGUGUUUUAAAAAGCACCAGGUCACUCUCCUAUAGUAACACCAUAUAAGUUCAACUGUGGCUGGCAAAGCAACCAAUGAAGAGGCAGAAGACACACAGGGCUUUUCCACAUCCCAUGUGAGCGAGAACCUGUACGUCCUCGUGCCUUCUCCCUGUGCACGUCUCACACCCUGACUCACUAAGAAGCAUCACCAGCUGCCCAGGUUCUUAGAGUUCUCCCAUCUCCAGUUUUCAUCUUUAUCGUGAUCCCCACAUGGAAGACUGUAUCUGGUGGUUUCUCCAUCCUCACAUGACUCACUUUGGUUUACUUUUGUGGAAGCCACUAAAUUGGGAGCUGGGACUUUUCCCUUCUGCCAGAGUCUGAGGCAAACCACAAUUUUCCAUAGUCUCUGGGUGCACGCCAGCCACUUGGAGACGUGCCCUUGAGUCUGUUCGUCCUCUCCUCGUGGUUACUCAGAAGAGGCCCUGUUUGUGUUUCAAAUGCAGCAACAUAUUAGAGGAGUGGCCCCCACAGCCUGACAUGCUCAUUCUCCCCCAUCAUUGCUGAUGUUAUGGGAAAGAGAACACCUUGGACAGCCUCAGCGAUGGUAGUCCAACUUGACUUGAGUAGGGUAGCCAUGUGCUUCUUGAGAUUUUAUGACAAAACUCCCGGGAAAUGUCUGUGGUAAAACUACAUUUUUGUAGAGUGUAACAGUUUACACACCACCAUGAUAGCCCUAUGAUCUCCAUUUUAAAUGAGAAAAUUGAGCUCUGUGGCAAGUCAGCUGCCCUGAUCACUUGGCUACAAAGUAGUAAUGUAGGGAUUAACAUCCUGAUUAUAUGAUUCCUAGUCUUCUAUAUGAGAUUUUUUUUUAGGACUUCUUUUCACAGUGAAAUAGUUAUAGGAAUUAGACAAGAAGCUCUUUAUUCUGUUUCAGAGUUCCACAGAAAUUUCUGGAAUCUUGCAAUUCACUUUGUUGAGCUUUGGACUGAAUCUCAAGUUUGACACUUAACAAUUAUGUGCCCUUCACCAAGUUCACACAUCCCUGAGUUUCAAUGUCCUCAUGAGUAAGAUGGAGGUAAUUAUACUUAUCUCCAAUAAAACCUCAUCAGGAUUGCCUUGAGGUUUAAAUAAGAUCCUACAGAAAGAAAGGAGCUCAAAGUGGCCAUGCUGAUGGUGGUUGUAAGUGUGAAGAGAUCUGUUUUGAAACACAGUGGACACAUUACACAACCCAUACCAAUUUCUUCUUCAGAUGGGUUCCAAUUAACUACUCCCUUGUCUUCUCAGAUGUCAGUUUGCCUUCAGAAUACCAACUUUAUAAGUAGCUGGCCAAGCCUGUAAUCCUAGCUACGUGGCGGGCAGAGGUGGAAGGUUCAAGGCCAGCCUAGGAAAUAUAGCAAGUCCUUCACCUCAAAAAUAAAAACUGGUUAAAGGGAAUUAAAUACUUAACUAUAAUAUAUGAAACUACUAGAAGGAAACAGGGAAACACUUCAGGACAUUGGAAUGGGCAAAAUUUUUUUUAGGAUAAGAUCCCAAAGCACAGAAAACAGAAGCAAAAAUAGACAAAUGGGAUUACAUCAAACUGAAAAGCUUCUGCGAAGCAAACAAUCAUCAAAGUGAAGAGACAGCUUAUAGAAUGAGGGAAAAUAUUUGCAAACCACAUAUCUGGCAAGGUCCAGUAACCAGAAUAUCUAUGUCUAUAUCUCCAUAGAACCCUAAAACUCAAUAUAAAAAUAACUUGGUUUAAACUUGGGCAAUAGAUUUAAAUGGAUGUUUCUCAAAAGAAGACACACUAAUGGCCAAUAGAUACAUGAAAAAUGCUCAACAUCAUUAAUUGUGGAAAUGCAAAACAAAGCCACAAUGAGAUAUCACUUCGACUAGUAAUAACGGGUAUCAUCAAAAAGACUAAAAACAAGUGCUGGUGAGGAUGUGGAGAAAAGAGAACUCUUGAAUACUAAUGGGAGGAAUGUAAAUUAGUACAUCUAUUAUAAAAAUAGUAUGGGGGUUCUUAAAAAAAUGAAAAUAGAACUACCAUUUGACCCAGCAAUCCCAUUCCUGGGUAGAUAUCCAAACAAAAUGGAACCAGUAUGUCAGAGACAUAUGCACUCCUGUGUUCUUUGUAGCACUGUUCACAAUAUCCAAGAAAGGGAAACAGCCAAAGUGUCCAUCAAGUGAUAAAUGGAUAAAGAAAAUGUGGUAAUACAUACCACUGAACACUGUUUUGUCAUUAAAAGGAUGAAAUCAUGUCAUUUUCAACACAUAGAUGAAACUGGAGGUCAUUGUUAAGUGAAAUAAGUCAGGCACAGAAGGACAAAUACCACAUGAUCUCACUCAUAUAUGAAAUCUAAAAAAAAUUGAUCUCACAGAAAUUGAGAGUGGUUGGAAAAAUAGUGAUUAAAAGGCAAUCAAUACUUGCUCCAUGGCAUUGAAUAGAUAAUUAAAAGUCAUAAAGAGUUAAAACAUUGUUUUUCAUAAACAAGGUUGGGUUUUUUUAAAAGCAAACUCUAGGGCUUGACUUUCCUUUUGGAUAAUAAAGGCUGACAAAUAAAAAAAAAAUAAAGAAAAAAAAUGAAAUUGAGAAUAGAAUAGUGGUUACCAGAGAUUGAAGAGAGUCUGGGGGAGAGAGGAUGGAAAGGUUGGUCAAUGGAUAUUAAGUUUCAGUUAUAUAAGAAUAAUAAAUUCUGGUGUUAUUGUGUAAAAUAGUACAACUAUAGGUAAUAAUUAUGUACUACUGUAUAUUUCAAAAAUCUAGAAGAAAGAAUUUGGGGUGUUUUUAUCAUAAAGAAAUGAUAAAUGUUUGAGGAGAUAGAUAUCUAUUGAGAAUGUUCAUGAUAAAGAUACAGAGGAAAAAGUGUAAGUCAAGACUUACUUACUCAACAGGGAAGGAAGGGAGACUUGAUGCGCCCCCUCCCCACAUCUGCCCAAGUCUGGAGACGUUUUUGGCUGUUACAACUGGGAGGAGUGUGCUAUUGGCAUCUAGUGGGCAGAGGGCAAGAGACUCUGCUAAACAUCCUGCAAUGUAAAGGACAGCUGUCCACCCCCCAAACAAGGAAUCACUGGCCCAAAAUGUUGGUAGUGUGGAGGUUGAGAAAUUCUGGUUUAUAGCUUUCAUCCUUUAACCAAGUAUAUCUACCAUUAAGCAAUGUGACUUUGUUGAAUGAAGAAAACAACCCAGGUGAGAACAGAGUCUUUUGCUAAAAAGUGUAAGUCAUAUGAUUUUUAAAAAUCUUGCAAAUGAGAAGUCUUAGUAUCCCCUACAACUCCUUAACUUAAACUUAACUUUUCUUUCUUUCUUUUUUUUUUCUUUUUGGUGAUGCUGGGGAUUGAACCCAGGGCCUCACAUUUGCUAGGCAAGGCAAGCACUCUACCAUUGAGUUACAUCCCCAGCCCUCCCAAACUUUUCAAGUAUGAAAUGAGCAUAAUUUAAUAGAACCAAAUGUUCUAAAAACUAUACAGAACUUUGCAAAGGCAUUAUUACAGCUUUUAAGCAUAUGUAUUUAUUAUCCUUUAUAGUUUAUAAGUCACAUGAAUUGUCUUAUUCAGUAUUUACAAUUUGAUAUCAUUGUCCCAAUUUCAUAGAUUGUAAGAUGAUAAACUUUAAUAUUUUGGGACAUCUGCUAUGUGUCUAGGCACUGUGCUUAUCACCAGACAGACAGAAGUUUAGUCUUAAGAAGUUCAAAAUCUCCUGUUGGACACCCACAUGUGAUACAUAUACUAAUAGAAGUAGGUAUAAACAGUCAUGGGAGAAUGGGAAGAAAACUGGGGGAGGAAACCAAAGUCAUUUGCCUAAGGUUACAAAACUAGUAAUUGACAGAUCUGGUUCUUGAUUUAAGGUCUUGAGUCUCAAAUCCUCUGUCUUGGCAUAAAGAUAUAAUCUCCUUAGCUUUUCUAGUGAAAUGAAAACAAAACUGAAAAAUAUUUACUCAAAAACUCAUCCAUAAAUUACCAAGUGGGCAAAGUAUAUAGAAUCAUUUUUGGAACUGUGGUCCAGACUGGGAUGAUGACAGGGAAGAUAAGACUUGGCAGAGCAGAAUAAUAAAGGGCGUCUAGUUCUCAACCCACCCACCAGGCCGUCCUCGAGUUUGGACAGUUAAGACCCACACCCCCCGAGAAGCCUGACUUUGAGUUGGAGGAGCUGAGAAAAGAUCUCUUGAGGUUAGGCGAAGUUCCCUAAAUGUAGCCAAGGUUCCUUUUCCUCUCUUUGCAGCUGGUGUGAAGAAUUCUCCAUUUAGGGAGAUAAUCUUAAGUGAGUGGGAGGAGCUGCCUAACAACUGGUGGGGUAAAUAUGGAGGAAGACAGAAACAAAUAGCCAGCUUCUCUAGUGUCCUCUGGUCAGCUCUUUCCCUCCUCCCUGCCUCCCCCAAAUCUGGAUGGAAAUAUGAAGCCACAGUCCACUGGCAAUUGCUCAUUCUGAUGACAAAUAAGAAGCCAGUCCAUCGAAAUAUCAUUUAACAGCUGUUUGCUUCCACAAUCCAGGAGACACGAUUUUGCCAUCUGGAUUUGCUUAAAUGGCCCGAGAUGAGCAUAGUCGGGCAGUGUACGCUCCCAAUAGAGGGCGGAGGCCAAACCAGAGCCGGUCUGGUGAUUAAAGCUCAGGGACUAAGUCACUCCCUUUGUCCUUUCAGACAAGGAUGGGAGUAAAUGGGAUCCACGCCAGUGACAUAAAGUACUCAUUUUCCAUUCAGGCCUAAGAUUUGUCCCCAGGGCCAGGAGCAGCGGGUAAACAUGAAACCUGAUUUGCCUGUGCAGAGUGGAGCUACAAAAUUAUGAUGCUCUCAGGGCCCCUCCUUCCCCCCUCCACUUCCUGGUGAAGAGGCUGAACAGUCUUAACUGUCACCACAUUUAUUCUGUCCAGCCCCUGCCUCCAGGGCCACUGUCAACUGAACCAGAGUGAACACCUGACCCAGGCUGCACCCAGCACAUCGGCUCUUCCGGGAAUUUGGAAUUGGUGCCUUAGAGACAUUGAUCGUUCCAAACCAGAGGUUUUCACCCUUACUCUAUGUUGAAACUGCCUAAGGAAUUCUGAAAACAGGCCCUGCUCCACACCACAUCUCACACACACACACACACACACACACACUCACUCACUUAUGGGAUGGCCACGCCUACACCCCAGAUUCUGACUUUAGUUAUUCUAGGUUAGACUGAACUAAGUUCUAGCUUGUUCUGCAGAGCCUCCUAUUGUAGCUGGGAGAGGCACAAAUGCAGAGAGAAGCAAACACACAGAGAUCCGUGAAGUGGACCUUCAGUGAGAAGUUGGGCUGAGAGACCCCAGUCCUCGAAUGAGCAGACAGUGACUUGAUUCCUGAGAGCUUUCUAAUUUGGAGUCCCAGACUAUCCUCAGGCUCAGUUGUAGUUCCUGCCCUUGAAUAACAUCCUUCAAAACAUUUCUUCUGAAGUUACUGUGAGUAGCUUCUAUUACAUUUAACAGAAUGAACCUUCACCAAGCCAUUCUCACAGCCUGUCCCAAUCCUGCUGAUUUGGCCUCAGAAAUCUUUCUCAAAACUCAUCCUUGUAGGCUUUUCAAUGGUGUUCUCAUUAUCACCCUCCAUGAGUGGACUUUGCCCAGGUCCCCUUCACUCCAUCUAGAUUCCCUAUGACAUAGAUCCAAUCCAAUCAUUCCCCAAAUUAAGAAUCCUUUACUGGUUCCUCCUUGUCUGUUAAAAUAGCAAAACAGUUCUGUAUAAACUGGCAUGUAAAAAAUAUGUCACUAACUAAAAAAAAAAAAAAAAAAAAAAAUCAAGGGGCAUAUAAUAAUUUUGCUUUUCUUUUGAAAAUGUGAUUUAAUUAUGCAUACAUAAAAAAAUUAAUGCAUAAAUUUAGGACAAAGAAAGAAUACCUUUCAAACCAUUAGCUCAGGUUUCCUUGCUCCAGUGUCCUCUCUCCCUGCUCCAUUCCACAUACCCUCUAGCUGUUCUAAACUUCCAUUCUUCCCCCAGCAGAUCACCCUCUUUCAAGUAACUAUGGCAUUGCCUAUUCUUUGCUUCUUACUGAAAUGCCUGUACUCCAUUCUUUGCCUGAACACUUUUACUUUUCCUUUUUUGAUUCAGAUCCAAUGACAACUCCUCUGGGAAGUCUUCUUCAGGUGACCCUACUGCAAGUCAAGGCUACUUCUCUCUCCCAGUGGCCUCAUAGUCGCUAGCUACUAGGUCUACUAUAAUUCCACUUAAUUUUGCUGUGGCUGAUGUGAUCAGACCAUUCUUUUUCCAACUGGAGAUGAGCUCUUGGAGAUGAGGACUGAAGUUUAUUCAUCUUGGUCUUCGGUAUCUAGCUAAGAGCCGGACUAAUAAUGGAUUCACAGAAAUUCUUGGUGGUUUCCUUGGUUGAACAGAUGAACAGACUCUUGCACUCAAGACAGAGCCAAGAGGUAAAGCUUCUGUGCUCUUCCAGAAAAAGUCUACUAGGUCCAAGUAAUCACAGUCCUGUUUCUGAGCUAGCUGGUCCCAUGCAAGGAGUUAUCGUUUUUUGUUUUUUUUUUUUUUUUUUUUUCACCAGCUUGUUGGCUGUCACCAAGCUGAGUGGUAAUUGUUGAUGUGGGCCUUUAAACACCACAAAGAUCAGUUGAAAAUGUGUUGCUAGGAGUGACUAACAAGAAAAUAAUGAGGCUAUGCCUAUUCUGAAAAUUGUCUAAGUGAUGGUGGGUUAUUUAUUUCUGUGUGGGUAUUUGCUUCUUUCUCUCGCUCAUCUCUUAAAAGAGAAAUCUUCAUGGCAGAAUCCUUCUUGCCCCCUCCAAAAAAGAAACUUUUCUUAUUGCUGGGAAAGAAGCUAAUUCAGGCUGUAAAAUAAAAUCCUGAGGGAGGAGAAUAACAGGGCUGAUAAACAAAGGGAAGUCAUGGAGGUAAGGGGUGUAGGAAUUUUCUUCAAGAGGAUAAGGACAAUCUCAUCAGAGCAAAUAUGAGUAAAGGAGAGAGGGAAGAGAAUGGGAAUUUUCUAUGUUUAGUAUGUAGUAAAUAUUUAAGCAUUCCAAUUUAAUUUUAUUCUCUGUAAUGAUUUACAUGACAGAUGAAUAAAGAAUGGAAUUCCUUUUAAAUUACAUGUUGGCUAUUGUCCUAUACUUCUUUUUUUAAAUUUUUAUUGUUGGUUGUUCAAAACAUUACAUAGUUCUUGAUAUAUCAUAUUUCACACUUUGAUUCAAGUGGGUUAUGAACUCCCAUUUUUACCCCGUACACAGAUUGCAGAAUCACAUCAGUUACACAUCCAUUGAUUUACAUAUUGCCAUAUUAGUGUCUGUUGUAUUCUGCUGCCUUUCCUAUCCUCUACUAUCCCCCCUCCCCUCCCCUGUCCUAUGCUUCUUAAAUAUGACACUGUCCCAAGGCCAAUACAUAAGAUCCAAGGCUUUGCAAAAGUUACAUCUACAAAUGGGUGAGAAGGGCCUGCAAAGAGAUGAGUUUGCCUUCUGUUCAGGACAUUGCUAGCUUUACAGCUGCUUUUGCCAGAAAAAAAUGGAUCUGGGGCAAGUAGAGACAGCAGAAGUCCAGAGAUGACCAGAUCUGGGGGCUGGGGAGACAGCCUGAACAGUGAAGCACUGGAUUUGGGGAAGUAAGGGUGGAGGGUCCCUCAAAAAGGCACUGUCCUCACCGUUCUCUGGAACUCUUAGGCCAUGGGUGUCUAGGAGCUCAAAUGGGUGGGUUGGAGGGAGGAAGGAUAAACUGAUUUUGAUACCAGUUUACAACUAAUGCUAGUAUGUUGAGCCAGUCUCAGACUGGACAGGCAUCCACCCAGACCAUGGACAUCCCAGGAGCCAUGAACCACUGGGCCAUGGAGAUCAGUCCUGAUAGGCAGUGGCUUUGGGAAAGUCUUGGUUUCUAAUAUCCCAAUUAUAGUUCACUCAAAGAAAAGUCUCUGAGAUAUAUUGAGAAUCCUCCAGUGUGACUUCAGACUGUAAGAUUAGAAAGGGAAGGUCUCUGAGGCAAGGUCAACAGAGAGACAGCAAAACAGACAUUUGAUUGAAAGUGGGAAGAGAUGCUCUAGACCACCACAGACACUGUGGGUCCAGACUUAUUGCUGGAAAGAUGUGCUUGACUGAGGGAAGAGCAAAGGCAGAGCAAGGUGGCUUAGAGAAGAGAGAUACCAUUCUGGUUGGAUAGGUGUAGUGGACCUCAAAAGCCAGCAGACCUGGGCUUGAUGCCUUGCUUAUUGCUGACAUUUUAUUUAACAUUGGGCUUUUAAUGUCUUAAAGUAUUUGUUGCAUUGUGCACCUUCUACAAAAAUAUACAUUCUACAAAAAUAUUGAGCACUCCUGUAUACGAGGUACCUACUGGACUAGGUGCUGGGGAUGCAGAGUGAAUAGAUAGAUGUGGUCCCUGUCUUCUUGGGCUCACAUUCUACAGGAGAAAUCAAAAUGUUGGUUGGGGUCCAACAUGUUGGUUUUGGAACUGACUCCCUUACCAAGACUCCUAAAGUGCAAGAAGUCAAAUAAAAAAAAUCAAUAAAUGGGAUGGCAUCAAAUUAAAAAGCUGUUUCACAGCAAAGGAAACAAUUUGUGAGCAGGAAGAAAGAGCCUACAGAAUAGGUGAAAAUCUUUGCCACAUGCUCUUCAGAUAGGGCAUUAAUAUCCAGGAUGUAUAAAGAACUCAAAACACUUACCACCAGAAACCAAAACCCAAAAACAAAUAACUCAUUUAAUAAAUGGGCAAAGGAAGUGAAUGGGCACUUCACAGAAGAAGAAAUGCAAACAGUCAACAAACACGUGUAAAAUGUUCAACAUCUCUAUUAAUCAGAGAAAUGCAAAUUAAAACAACGCUGAUAUUUUAUCUCACUCCAGUAAGAAUGGCAAUUUUCAAGAAUACAAGUAACAAUAAAUGUUGGUGAGCAUAAAGGGAAAAGGGUACACUCAUAUAUUUUUAGUGGGACUGCAAACUGGUGCAACCACACUAGAAAUCAGUUUGGAGAUGUCUCAAAAAAACAAAACAAAACAAAACAAAAAAACCUAGGAUACCACUCAGCUAUCCCAUUCCUUGGAAUAUAUCCAAAGGACUUAAAAUCAGUAUACUACAGUGAUGCAGCCACAUCAAUUUUUGUAGUAGUUCAAAAAAAUUCACAAUAGCCAAGCUAUGGAACUAAACUUGGAGCCCUUCAACAGAUGAACGGAUAAAUAAAAUUUGGUGUCUGUACACAAUGGAGUACUACUCAGCCAAAAAUAAGAAUGAAAUUAUGACAUUUUCUGGUAAAUGGAUGAAUCUGGAAACUAUCAUGCUAAAUAAAAUAAGACAGUCCCAUCCCCAACAGUCAAAGUUUGAAUGUUUUUCCUAAUAUGCGAAGCUCAUCCAAAAUUAGAUGGAGGGGUUAAAGAAGAAUAAAACAAAGAUCAAUGGAGUAGACAAAGGGGAACAAAGGGAAGGGAGGAGGGAUGGGAUAUGGAAAGAUGGUGGAAUGAAUUUGACCUAAUUUUCCUAUGUACAUAUAUGAAUAUUCCACAGUGAAUCUCACCCUCAUGUACAUCCACAAGACAUUAAAAAAAAAAAAACUAAGUAAAUAGCAGAAAGAUCAGUAGAGGGAAGGGAACAGAGAGGUGAAGAGAGGGGAGGGGAGGGGAAGGAGAAAGAAGUACUGGGAGCUGAACGGGAACAAAUUAUAUUCCAUGCUUUUAUAAUUAUGUCAAAAUAAAUUCUAUUAUCAAAUAUAACUUAAAAGAACCCAUAGGGAAAAAAAUGUUGGUUGAAUCUGAAUCCCUGCCACCUACUGCCUUCCUGCCACAUCUCUUUCUGUGGGACAGGGCUUUGGCCAGUACUUUCAAAAAUUGUUAGCAGGGAUAAGGGGAGGCUCAGAACACCACAGUUUAGGACAGAUCAGAAAAUGAAUCUGAUCUCCUGGCCACAAUCAUCGUCUCCAGCAUGAGGGAUUUGUGGAGAAGCUGGGAGGUUCCAGAACAAAGCCAGGAAAUGAUGACAGCCUCCUUCCAGGCCUUUCCAAGAAAGCUAUAAAUCUUUUUCCCGGUCUACACAAGAAGCAAAAAUAAAUUUUAGUAACUUUUCUAACAUCAGUAGGAUAGUUGACAGCCCACUCUAGGGACUGAACAGAGAGUUGGAAAGACAACCCAGGUAGAAAAAUGAAGUGUGACCACAAGUGUGAAGGUAAAAAUAUCAUAGAGGCAAUUUAAUUAUAUAUGUGGCAGUUUUCUUCCUGCUCUGUCUCCAGCACACUUGUAGACAGAGUGACCAAAUAGCCCAUAUGAGUGCUUAUUAUUUGAUUCUUUCCUUUAAAGUGAAUACCAAGGAAACAUUCCCCAGUGUUGAUGGUUUCCAUCUAUGGUGUGUGAGCAAGCAUGGACACCGUAGGCUGAGGGAAGCUUAGUUUCAUUGGGGAUGUGCUUGAGGUCUCUAUUUGGUUUCAAGGCUGUACUUCACCUCGUCCAUCCAGCUCACUGUCCAAGGGCUGAUCUGUGGGGUCUCCACAAGACCCCAGCUUGCAGGCUUGUGGCUGGGUUGAGCCAAUGAGAAGAACUGGUGAAAGAUAUUCUAAGGGCUUUGGGGAAAACAGGGUGGGGCCUCUAUCCAGCCUCUGCCUUGACAGCUGCUGGAUUCCUUUAUGGAUGUGGACAGCUCCCCUUCUCUGAGGCUACAGUUCCUACUGGGCUCAGGUAAAUGCACCUUCCAACCCACUGUUGCCAGCCCUGGGGCUCCAUUACCCCUGUCCAGAUGCUGUAAAUUGUCUUUUGAUAAACUUCUUAGUCACCCCUCUGGGUGUAAGUGCCAUCUGUCUCUAGCUGGAAUUCUGACUCAUAUACUCUCUGAAUUGGACUUGAGGAAUUUCUGAAAUUUCAUGGAACAUUUACUUUAACAAAAAUGUUUUGAGCAAGUACUUCAUAAUGCUUAAACAAUUGAUACCUAAACAUUUUUGAGUGCCUGGUAUGUUCCAGGUGUCACACUAAGUGAUUUCUAUGAUUUAAUCAUUACAACAUCCUUGUGGUUACUUUUUUUAAAACUUCUCUUUGCUGAGAGCCAUAGCCAAGUAGGAAUGACAUGGCAUUUUUGGUUAAGGUGACCCUGCUCAGGGUUUAGGGUGGCUCCAGGUUUAGGGUGGAUCCUGCUGGAUUAGGGUGGCUCCAGGUUUAGGGUGGAUCCUGCUGGAUUAGGGUGGCUCCAGGUUUAGGGUGGAUCCUGCUGGGAAUAGGGCGUAUCCUGCUGCCUCAGGCGCCCACUCCUUGAGUUCCCGUGGAGUUCUCGUGGGGUUCUGAGAGAAUUGGUACGCAGAGCCCAGUGAAGGGAGUGUAUUUUCCCAGAACGUGCCUGUAGAGUGUCGGUGAGAGUUCGGGAAUAAAGAGUUGCUGUUGGAAUCUACAAGGCUUUGUGGUGGCUCGGUUAUUUUGUGCCCAGACAAAUUGCGGCAUCUCUUCAAGCAUGAAAACUAAUGUUCAUUGCAUAUAAGCACAUUUGCCCAAGGCUGUAACACAAGAAACUACAGGGAGAGAUUUCAUGCCCAGAUACAUUUCAGUUUUAAGGUUUUUUUUAAGCUUCUAUUCUUUAUAGCCUGUUACAUAAAAUAUAAUUAUGAUAGAGUAUUUGGAAGAAUAAGGAAAAUUAGAGGAAGAAAAAGAACUCUGCCACGCUGCAGUGUGUGUGCCUGUUUUGUGCUGUUGUGACAGAAUAUCACACAUUGGUUGCUUUAUAAUGAAAAGAGAUUUAUUUCUUAUAGUUUUGGAGUCUGGGAAUUUGAAGGUCAAGGAACCCGCAUCCAGUGAGGACUUCCUUGCUAUAUUAUUCCAUGGUGGCAGAAGGUGGAAGGUCAAGAAAGUACUUGAGAAUGAGAGGGAAGAGGUCUGAAUUCAUCUUUCAUCAAGAACUCACCCUCACAAUAACUAACCUCCUCCUGAUCUAAUGGUAUUAGUGCACUUAUGAGGACAGAAACCAGGACCUAAUCACCUCUUAAAAGUCCCAACUCUCCAGUCACAACAAAUUUAUUUAAAAAUGUUCAACAUUUUUAACAAUUAGAGAAAUGUAAAUUAAAACUGCACUGCGAUUUCAUCUCACUUCAGUCAGAAUGGCAAUUAUCAAGAAUACAAGUAACAAUAAAUGUUGGCGAGCAUAAGGGGAAAAGCGUACACUCAUACAUUUCUGGUGGGUCUGCAAAUUGGUGUAAUCUCUUUGGAAAGCAGUAUGGAGAUUUUUCAAACAACUAGAAAUAGAACCACCAUUUGACCCAGAUGUCCCAUUCCUCAGUAUAUAUCCAAAGGAUUUAAAAUCAGCAUACUACCGUGAGGCAGACACAUCAAUGUUUAUAGCAUAAACUAAGUUAUUCACAAUAACUAAGCUAUGGAACCAACCUUGGUGCCCUUCAACAGAAUGAAUGGAUAAAGAAAAUAUGGUAUAUAUACACAAUGUAAGCCAUAAAAGAUUGAAUUUAUGAUAUUUAAUAUUCAUGGAUGGAACUGGAGACUAUCAUGCUAAGUGAAAUAAGCCAAUCCCAAAAAACUAAAGGUCAAAUGUUUUCUCUGAUAUGUGGAAGCUAACCCACAUUAAGGGGAAGAGGAAAGAAUAGAUAUUCAGUAGAUUAGACAAAGGGGAAUGAAAGGAAGGGAGGGGAUAUAGGAAAAGGAAAAACACUAGAAUGAAUCUGAAAUAAUUUUUCCAUGUCCAUAUAUGAAUACACCAUAGUGAAUCUUACCAUUGUGUACAUCCAUAAGAAUGGGGUUCUAACCAGACUAACCUAUAUUUCAUACUUGUACAAUUAUAUCAAAAUAAAUUCUACUGUCAUGUGUAACUAAAAAGAACCAAUAAAAAAAUUCCCAGUUCUCAACACUGUUGCUUUGGGGAUUAAGUUCCCAGCAUAUGAAUUUGGGGGCAGUUUCAAACCAUAGCAAGGGGCAAACAUACACAGAUAACUGGAUGACUAAUUUUAUCUGGCCAACUGAGAGUUGGAGGGGAGUAUUUGGGGGGAGAACAAUAUGUGCAGUGAUCGGCUGGUAAACACUUGACAACUGGUCCCCUCUUCCCCCUGAAAGCCCUAAUUCAUAGUGUUGUAGUGUAAAUACUUGCCCAGCCCUGACUUCAAGCUCCCAAUAUGACAUUACUAAAUGGGGAGGUGGGAAGACAUGGGCACAAUCGGCUCUUGAAAGUCAGUACAAGCCUGCUCCAGUACACCACUGCCGUUACGUGAAGGGCUGGAGUCCCGAGCUAGCCUGGUGUGUCUGGGGUACUACAAGUGGAAAAGAGCUGCUGGAGUACAAGGGACACAUGGUGAGGGACAAUGGGAUGGGGACAGGGAUGAGCCUGGAACGGAGGAAGAAAGGCCCAGGGAGAAGACCGUGGCUGAUGGGCUAGAGCUGUGCUUUGCAAUUUGAUGGCCAUGCCCUGCUACCAAGAGCUUGAAACGUGGCUUUGAGCGAAAUAUAUAUGCCAGAUUUUUAAAAUCUAAUAUGAGAAAAAAGAAUGCAAAGGGUAUCAUUAAUAGUUUUUAAUAUGUUUUACUUUUAUAAUACUUUAUACAUGUAAUAUACAUGUAUAUACAUGUAAUAAUGAUUCCAUAUUAAAAUGAUAUGUUUUAGAUAUUAUAAUAUCCAAAUAUUGUUUUACUUUUUUUUUUUUUUUGGUAGUUGGGUUUGGACAGAAUGCCUUUAUUUUUAUCUAUUUAUUUAUUUAUUUAAUGUGGUGCUGAGGAUCAAACCCAGUGCCUCACACAUGCUGGGCAAGUGCUAUGCCACUGAGCUACAGCCCCAGCCCUUUAUUUUUACUUUUUAAAGUAUAGCAGUUAGAAAAUUUUAAAAAUUAUCUAUGUAGCUGGUAUUGUAUUUCUUUUGAACAGCCCUGGGCCAGAGAACUUGGACUUUAUAAAGGCUAUAGAGUUUUAGAUGAGUACUAAACAGAUGUGGCCUGCUUCCCAUCAAGAUCAAUCUGGUGCCAUAUGGAGUUUGCUGAGUUCUGGUGGGAGAAGAGGGAUUAUUGAGAGAGUCCAGGUCAGAGGGACAUGGGACUAAAUUUAGACAAAGGGGGUGAGAGGAAGAAGGAGAAAGCAGAAUGGGUAUGGGAUGGUGUGGCCAAUUGAAUGUGGGAGAUGGUAAGAGAGAGGGAUCAAGGGUGAUGGGCAGGUGUCUGUCUAGCUGGAAAUGGAAUUAACAGAAGAUUUCUUGUAGGCGAGGCAUAGGUUUGGUUUCAGACAUGAUGAGUUUGAGGUGCAGAGAACUUGCAAGAGUUCAACUGGCAAUUGUGCAUAGGUGGCUGAAAUUUUGUUGGCUCCAUCUUAAAACACAUCCCAAAUGGACUGUUUCCUACCACUUCUAUUGCUUCUACCCUAAUCCAAGCCACUCUAGUCUCUUAUCUGGAUUAUUGUACUUGCCUACCAGCUGAACUCCUUGCUAACACAUGUGCCCUGCUUUUCUCAAGUCUCAAUGCAGUAUCUGGAGUAAUCUUGUUAAAAGUCACAUCAGAAUACAUCCUUUCUCCCCUCAAAUUUCCAGUGAAUUCCAUUGCACUCAGAGUUCAUGCCAUUCUGUACAAUGACCCCUAGCCCUGUGUGACCUGGCCCCUGCUGCUCUCUGAGCUCCCACUACUCUGUCCCUCAGUGACACUGGCCUCCUUGCUGUUCCUAGAACUCUCCAGAACCCUCCUGCCCAGGGGCCUCUGUGCCUGGUACUCUGCCUCAAAGGCUCUUCCCUUGGAUCUCUGAGGAGUUCUCUCCCUCACCUCCUCCAGGUCUUGAUACAUCUGUUCCCUUCUCAGUGAAGCCUUCUUUUUCACCCCAUCUAAAAUGACACCCCAUUCUUUCCUUUCCUUUUCUGUAUCUUGUCAUUAGCUCAUCACAUUGAGAAUGUUACUUAGCAUGUUUAAUGUUCUUGUCCCUCAAGGGAAUGGAAGCUCUGUAAGGCAGAGAUUUUGUUUUAUUCUGUUGUGUCCCCUGUGUUUCAUAGUAGGUACUGUAUUAGAGUGUGUUGAAUGAACAAACAAACUCUAGUAUAUCAGCAAGUAAAUACCUAUAUCCUAGAACAGUCCUGCCUUUGGGAGCCCACCUCUGGUGCUUGUAAUUGUGACCUUGGGCUGGUUAUUUACCAUCUCUGAGCCUUCAUUUUGUCAUCUGUGGGAUGGAGAGAUUAAUACCACCUUCCACAAAAUAUGAUUGUAAAGAUUCAUCCAUUUAAUCGUUGUGGAGCCCCCACCCUGUGCCAGGAGGCAUGCUUAAGGGGGAUUAAGUGAGAGAUUGUUUUUAAGAUCCCAUGACACUGUGUCUGGCAUCUUGUAAAUGUUUACACUUACUGAGCAUUAGCAGCAGGAGGAGGAGGAUCAGGAAGAGGAGGGUCAGGCAUAUAAAAAGUGAGCUGGUAUGAGCUGCAGACCAGGGAGUGAGCAGACGCUGGAAAUAAAUGAACCAUCCCAGGGGAUAAGAGCAGAAUGGGAGGGAGGGAGGGAGGGGACUGGGCUGGCCUUGCUGAAUUCACAGGGUGAUGCUCAGUGGAUGGGAGGGGAAUUCCAGUGACAGUAACAGCCAACUAAUCAGUCUCCAGGACCCAAGUCCUGAAGGAGAGCAGACAUGGACCUCCCCAAAGCCACGAGUCAUUGCUUCUAGAACACUGCGGGGGCGAGGGUGGGAUUGGGGGCACUGCAGGAAACAAGGAGAACAUGGUAACAUAAUGUGACAGGGUCCCACCACUUCAGACUGGAGUAGGGCUGGACUGGGCCUCCUAGGUGUCAUGACUUGAGAAUACUUUACGAAAGGGCAGCACCUCCUGUGGGCAGCAGAGGCAACUAAGAGUGUGUAAGGGCUCUCAGGAGGCAGAGGUCCAUAGGCCGCUGUGUCUGAGAGGGUUUUGAGGUGGCAUGAUAUGAAGGCCAAACAUCGGAAUGUCACAGGUCAGGCAAGAGAAGAGCGCAGGAUGAGAAGCCCUGCCUCUUCCUUUUGGCCUUGGAUGUCUCUGGACCUGGCCUUGUUGCCCUGGGCUGAGCUUUGCUUUAGUCUUUCUGAUGGAUUUUUCCAGCAAACAUCCGAGGACUUUUAACUGCUUGAAAGUGUAAAAGAAGUCCCCACUCCCACCUGGGAUCUAGGCCCCAGGAUAAGGGACUGCCAGACAGUAGGUGUUUCCAUGACAUGCACUCCUCAGGCUACUUCAGGGCUGGCUGACUACCCUCAGAAGCCCUGAUGGUGUCACAGUGUCCCCAUCAUGAAGCUGGGGACCCUACCAUUAUAUGGAACAGAACAGCCAAGGUAGACCUGAAAAGUCAAAUCCUGUAGUAUAGCCACACACUCAAGUAAAAUGCAUCCUGCAAACACAUACCCCUUAGGGCUCAUUUCCUCACUCUGUCAAUAAUGUCUGUUGCAUAUAUGCAGUGCAUGAAUAAUCAUAGUAAGAACUCCUAUGAGGUCAUGAUGGGGGAGUCACUGCCUGUGCCUGCACUCAGAAACCACCCCCCCCCCCCACAUCCUUUCUGUGAAGUACAGUGGUGAAAGAAGUGGGUUCUAGAGCCAGAAAGCUUUUUGAUUCACCUAUUGCCUCCUCUACCUACUAGCUUUAUAUCCUCAGGAAAACCACUUCAUCUCUCCGGACUUGGUUUCUUCAUCUGUAAUAUAAGGCUCAUGGCAGAAUUCAAGCCAAUAAGGUUGUUUAAAAGAUUAAAUAUAGAGAAUAUAGGAAGUGCUCAGAACAGUUCCCAGUAGAUAUGAUUGCUGCUUGUUAUACUAAAACAUGUAUGUAUAUAUAUCCCUUAGCAAACACGGAUCUUUUGCUAGGUUUUGGAGGUUGGGAUGUGACUUUGUAAUUCACUUGAAAUGACCCUUCAUGACUAGGGAGAAAAAAAAAAGCUUUUGUGACCCUCAGUGCACUUCUCUCUGCUUCCUCAUGUGCUCUUCAGACCACUUAUCAGUUCUGCCCUCUGAUUGCAUAACUUCACCCAAGCAGGAUAUUUCCAUUCCAGACUAUUGCACUGAGGACAAUGUUUAUUUUAACACAGACUAGACAGUGUUUAAAGCCAUGGGGGCCUCUCUCUUGGAAAGGAUCAGUCCCAUGCUUUAGGAGCCAACAACCCCCAACUCAUUACAUCCAUGUAGUUAAAUUGAAAAUGUCAAGCUAUUUAACAACUUUGUACUAAAUACUUGGAGGUCGUAAAUACUUCAAUGAAAUCAGAUAUUUUUCUUUUCAAGUUACAAAUCUUCCUUUGCUGCUCUUCAAGAGUCUGUACUCUACUUUAAGCCUAGUGGUAUGCACUUUCCAUGGAGCUGCCCAUUUGGUUUUCAUAGGGUCCUAAGCUGUGCUCACUUGCUAUCUCUGUUUUGUGGAAGAGGAAGUGGAUGUAUGUUGACUUGCUCCAGCUCAUAUGGCUGGUAAGUGGAAGAGGCUGACAGAGGCCAUACUCUUGACCAUGCUCCUUAUUCUUGUGCAACAGUGCUAGCUCUUGUCAUCAGUGGGCCACGAUGCUGCACACACUGCUAGAUGUCUGUGGGCUUCAGUUUCCCUAUUUUAAGGGGCUGGUCUAGAUACUUCCCCAAGGAUAGGAUCUCUGGGUUCCUAUGCUCUCCAUCAAGGGCUUCCAGGGUUCUAUCAGAUUGCUUGGCACUGGAAGGAUCCAGAGGUAAUAUCAUGGCCUCUGGCUCUGCGGGAAGUUUAUAAUAUUAUUGGGGACAUGAUUGGCAGUAUAAGAGAGUUAAUUAUUUUCCCACAGUGUGAUUCAGACCAGAGUGUAAAGAUUCUGGGAAGGCAGAUGAAUCUCACUUAGUGGAAAAAUGGAUCAUCUUAAAAGGAGAGCAAAUCUUCCUUACUAUCUGCUAAAAACUACUUCUCUCUUAAGCAAGAGCCAGACGUGCUUGUCUGGUGGACACAUCAUCACCAUCUGACUCCCAGUCCAGCCAGAUACACCCAACCCUCAGACAGGGAGCCCUGGGCAGCUGGCGGAUAUGCCACAUUUCAACGAAAGCAUGAACACUUCGAGGGUGUGUUUGUUUUUUUCCUACACAGAACAUACUUCCAUAUGCUGAAACAUUUUCUCCAUCAGACCCAUGCUUGGGAAGAUGUGUGCUGAGGAAGCAGAGCUCAGGGAGACAGAGGUCAAUUCACAGUUGCGUAAAAGUCAUGGAGGGGAGCAGCGGGUGGAGACGCCACAUAUGCUAAAGCUGAAUUUCUUUAACCAUAAAGAACUGGUUGUGAGCAGAAACAGUUUGCCUGGGUUUGAAGCCAUGACACCAGCAAGUGGAACCGUUGGAUGUGUUACACUUCCAGUAAGUGUAAACUAGCUUUGCAAGCUAGGGAGUAUUUUAAAGAGUUGAACUUGGGUUCACUAAAUGAGCUGAAGAGUGAGUCUCAGGUUGGUUUUGUCUCAGUGCUGUGGCAUCUGCCACAGGAUCUUAUUUCUUAACCUUUCUCUUGGUUUUCCCUGGGGGUGUAAGCCAGUCCUGCUCUUCAUUCCAAAGCAAGGGCAACAGCACCCAUUUCCAGGGUUUCACUGUUCAGCAACUGGCUGAUGACUCUCAACUCCAAAGGUGCAGCUAAGAAGUGGCUCAGAAGCUCCAGACCCAUAUAUGUUGCUAUCUUCUGGGGACCUUUGUUCAUAGUGCCACAGGUACCUACUUCUCAACUAAACACCCCAAACCUGCUUUUCCUCCUAUGCCUCCUAACUUAGUGAAUGGCCCUCACUCAUGCUCCCCACCCCCACAUCCAAACACCAGCAGUUUCCUCCUCUGUAAUGAUUUCCAUUGCAUAUGCACACCUGGGUCUGGGGCCCAGCCUCUCCUUCCUAUAGCAACCAUUACAUGGGUCCCUGUCUUCCUGUCUUUGAACCUAUUCUCCACAUAGCAGCUAGAGAACUUCUACAGCACAAAUAGGAGGUGUGAAGUCCUUUCUGAAAACUCAAAGGCUUUGGGGAUUUAUCCCAAACUCCUCAUUCUUAGGUUGGUCUUGACUUUUUCUUCAGUGGUCCCCUGGCUCAGCUCUCAUGGGAUCCUCUCUCUAGAGUUCAAGAUCAGAGGGCAGAAGAGAAGAAUCUGUUAAAUGAAAAAUAUUCCUACCAGCCCACAUGUUCUGAACUCAGAACAUGUCAAUAGAAUCAAAAACUUCUAUUUUUAAUGCUAAGGUAUCAGACUAACCUGAUCAAAAUCAAUGAGGAAAAGACAAAUGAUCUAAGAUAAGCACAGAAGAUAGCCAGGGAAGCAGGACACAGCUUUUCCUGUUCUACCUGGCCAGAGCUGACCACUCCCUUGUUGGUGCCUCACUAAACCUUACGGGUAGCUCUCAGGACACUUUGCACAUUGUGAUAUUUUCUUUGUACAAUCAGCAACUUGGAUUCAGGAAAGAUGUGUCUUCCUGUAUUCUAAGCAUAAGGAUGAGAAUAUUCUCUGUAAUAUGAAUGUAAAAUUGCUUAAUCACAACAUUAUGCUUCCUCCCCACAUCAACCAGGAACAUUUGUUUCAUUAAAAUGGCUUGUUUUAAAAUGAUGACUCCAUGUUACAAAGAACUGAUGUCUUUAUUAAACAUCUUGCUCUUACAUACCAAUAAAAGAAAUACACUUAAGAGGAAAAAUUGGCCAAGACAUUCAUAGACAAUUUCCAAAUGAAACUAAACAAACGCUAAUUAAACAUGACAGAUGCUCAGUCUUCCAUGUAAGAUAUAAAAACUUAAAAUAUUCCUCACAUCUCAGGAUGUGAGGAAUAGGUACUCAGAUAUAACAUUGGUGGGAAUGUCAAUAUAUAGAACCUUCCUGGAGGGAGACUAAGCAACAGUCAUUCAAAAUUUAGAAUCUGCAUAAUCUUGUCCCAGAACUUCUAGGAAUUUGUUCUACAGGAAUAAUCACAAGUUUAUGUGAGAUAAUAUUUAAUUGUGACAUUGUUAACAAGAGUCAAAAUGUAAAAAAGUCAAACUUUCAUUCAUGUUAAACAAAUCAUGGUGCCAACACAAUAUUAGGCAAUUGUUAAAAGAAGCAAAUCCCUAUAGAUCUUCAUGUUUACAAAGAAAAAUGUUCAUAAUAUAGCAAGUGAAUGAGGCAGAUUGAAUAGGCAUCUACCUAUCCAUCCUUCCACUCCAUUCUUCCAUGCAAGAAAAAAGUGAAUGAAAAUGUCUCAAACCGUGAACAGUAAUUAUCAGUGGAUGAAGCUGACUUAUCAGUGACUUCCACAUUUUAUUUCAUAUUUUGAAGAUUUUGCAAUGAGCAGGUAUUACACUCGUAACAACAGCAAAAACAUUAAGUAUUGCCAAUUUGGGGAAAAGUUUUUCUUACUAAAGAGUAAUUUGAGAGACUUAUUUCUUCUGGCAUGUGGGGAACAUGUCUCAUGGAAUACUUUCCUGUUCUGAGGGCCCUCAGCUUGGUGGUUUAGCUCCUGGUACCAGGCUUGGUAGCACAUAGAAUUUGUGUUGCUUUUUUGACUUCAUUUUUUCUACUAACUCCUAAGAAACCACAGGAUAAAUUUUCACAUCUAGCUUUACCCCAUCAAAAAGAAAGAAGUUACACUCAAUUUUAAACUAUGGAUAAAAAUGGUAAAUGAAACCUAAAAUAACAAAUAACACAAAUAAUAGCUAAUUCAUUUUAUGUCUCCCAAAUCAUCCUUUGGCACUUGUUCUCAAGACAAAAUGAACUUAUUUCUAAUUUCCCUUUUGCUCUUACAACGUGCUUUUUAAAAAUUAGUUCAUUAUAGCUAUAUACAAUGUUGGGGUUCAUUUUGACAUCAUUAUACAAGCAUGGAAUAUAAUUUACUCCAGUUCUGUCCCCCUUACUUCCCCAUUCCCUCUUCUCCUCCCUCCCCCUGCUCCCUCUCCUCUACUGUACUGAUCUUUCUUCUAUAUAUUUAUAGUUUUUUUUAAAAAAAAUGUGCAUUAUAAUAUGCAUGCAGGUAAAAUUCACUGUGGCUUUUACCUGAAUCAUUCUUAGAGAAUGCUUGCUGGUUCCUAUUGAUCAGUGAUUCCUUUUCUCUCCAAUCACAUCAGGUAAACUAAAAUGAGCUCACGAUUUUUCUUGGGUUUAAUGGUAUGUUCAUUUGACUGUGGAUUCUGGAAGUUCCUCCUUUUCCCUUAGCAAACUGUAAGGUUUUUGCCUUUUAAUCCAUCACAUCAAUGAAUUUUAUAUUGGUGGGACCUGAUAAGCUGGAAAAGCAAAAACUUUGUACACUCUGAUAAGAAGCAUGACUUUUAGUGGUUGGGAGAUAAAUCCUUCAGGGAUAAAAGUCUGUGUCACCUCAAUAAGCAACCUUCAAGUCCAGCACUCGUACUAGCUGACAAUGAAUGAAAUCUAGAAAGAGUAGUAGGGGAGGGAGAUGAUGAAUAUCAGUAGCCUAAAGGCCGGAUGCAACAGAGGGGUUAUAAGGAAAUAGGUGUCUUAUCUCACUAACUUUCCUCGUUAGAUUUCCCCCAGAAACUAUGAGCAUCUGCCAUCUUGAACACAAAUGGCAAGAUAAAGUGAACCUGAUGGAAAAUGUGAACCGGUCUCAGUGGUGCAAGGGGUGGUCUAACACCGUCACAGUUUCGCCCAGAGGCCCUUGGAUCUACUUUUGUUGUUUCUGUGAACACCAUUGUGCUUUCACCCAAAAGCUUUUUCUUCUAAUGGCCCCUCCUCCGCAACUGGUUAUUAGACUGCUUAGCCACAGUGCAGAGCCCAGAUGUGCCUGUAGGUUUCCAUUUCCUCUGGUUCUCCAUUGCCAGGGGAUGACAGUUUGUCAGCAUGAAGCCCUGCUCCCUGCCUCCAUGAGGACAAACUCACUCAAGUCUCUGCCUUAUGAGACUUCACCUGAUGUCACACCCUGGACUGGCUUCUUUCUGUUCCCCAGCCACCUUCCCCCACUCCCUGGCUGGGGCCAGUGUCUUCCUGGAGUCCAUCCUUGCCAAAUCUCUUGCACAAGAACCUUCUCAGGAUCUCCUUCUGGGAAAUCUCCCAUAAAUGAUAGGAUAGUAGAUAACAUUGACUGGGACAGUUUUUACCAUGUGUCAGGCACUGCCAUAGAGAUGGGGUUUUUUGUUUGUUUGUUUCUGUUUGCUUUUUUUUUUUUAAUAUUUAUUUUUUUAGUUUUAGGUGGACACAGUACCUUUAUUUUUUAUUUUUAUGUGGUGCUGAGGAUUGAACUCAGUGCCUCACGAAUACCAGGCAAGAGUGCUACCACUUGAGCCACAUCCCCAGCCCCGUUUCUUUUUGCUUUUAACAUGUCCUGCUUCACCUAGUCUUCCAGAAGGCUGUCAGGGGGAACUUGUAUAAUCAGCCCCUUGGUAGGAUGUCUUAGACUUAAGAACUCAGACCCUGAAGCCCAACAGCAUGAAACCACAUUUUAUUUCUCUCAAUUAUCAACUAUAUGACCUUGGACAAGUUACUCUCCUCACCCACGAAAUGGUUAUAAUAAUAGAACCUAUUUCACAGGUUGGUGAUGAAAAUUUGAUGUGCCAGCAUGAGUCAAGUAUUGGAGUGCUACACAGGUACAUGUUAAAUGAACAAAUACUUCACACAGGUCAACCCAGCCUUACAAAGAGAUUAAUCAGCUUCUCAAGUUCCCCCACUUAGGUGGACAAAGUCAGAAUUCAAACCCAGAUCUGCAUGAGUUCAAAGCCUAAUCUCUUAACUACGAUUCUAUGCCACCUGGGUCAGGCCUACGGCCCGUCCUUUGUCUUCAUACCUUUCAAAUUGUAUUUUCCCACAAAUCUCCUUGCCCAUCCCCAGCUUGUCUUUGCCGGCAUUCUCUUCUCUCAACAGGAGGAACUGGGUCUCCCAGCAGAUGUUCUGGGGGGUGGGGGAGGUCAGCUCUCUGUCGCUGCUGAGUACCACCUUGCCUUAGCAGGGUCAGCACACUGUGUUAAUUCUCGAGGGGCUUUCUCUACAGACCUCAUUAUUUUCUUCAUCAUUUCUGUAUUCUCCCCACCAAAAAGCACAGUCUCCUUCACUACUGAAGUCAUGAGUACCUCUUUAUUUUAAUUCCAACAUCAUUUUCCAUUUUCCUAAUAGCAAAAGCAAAAUGGGCUAUUAAAUAUUAUUUCGUGUUCAAUAUUAAAAACAUAUUGAACACGAAAGGGGAGGGAAGUGAGAAAACUCUCACUUGCUGCCCAUGUGGCUUUCUGAGGCCACUUCAACCACCCAGGCCUUGACUCACCAGGGCCCAUCACUUGGCUCCUCGAGAGUUCCAGGAUGACACACCUGGCACGACUGACCCAUGUCCUUAUAUGGCAGCCUCUGUGCCUGGUGCCGGCUUCCCUGGCCUGCAUUUCACUAGGCGAUGAAGCAAUGUCCCCUGCAUGGGAAGGGCGGGGAGCAGCUUGCUCCUAAUUCUACGUAGCUCCACUCAGGCAGCCCUACUUCCUUUUUUGUUGGAUCGAAAGUGAAAAAUAGAAUUCUGGGAGAACAUGAGGAAUGGGGCCACUUUUUUCCAUGUGAUGCAUUUAGUAACAUUUCUUGGGCAGCUGCUCUGUGCCUGGUACCCUAGUAUUUACAAGAAAGGGAAGAGACAGAGUCAUCGUGCCUGGUUAUGACACGAGGUUUCUCUUUCUGUGUGUGUGUGUGUGUGUGUAGGGGGGAGUGGAUGGGUUGUUUCAAAGUCCCUUUGGGUCCCAGGUCUUGGGAAGGAAGAGUAGAUUGGAAAAGGAAAGUUCACAGUUAAUGUCAUUUGUAUCAGUGAUGGAGCACAGUGAUUUACAUACAUUACCUCACAUAAUCCUCAGGGACUAAACAUCUACAGUGAAGUAAGUGUCCUGGGUUAACAUGAAAAUUCCCUGAAAUACCUGCCCUGGUUUAUCUUGCUUUACUUCAGAUCCCCGAAGUUAGGCAGAAUGAGGCCCCCUAAGAUUAUUUACAUCUUACCCUCAAGGAAUAUUUUGUUUCAACUUUAAUACUUAUAUCUCUGAUCGGUCACCAAAGUUUGGUUCCAAUUAAGAUAACUGAAUAAAUGGUAACUGCCUAAUUCCCUGGCCCCCAUCCAGACUGCCCACAGAUGACCAUCAGGACUCCUGGAGCCCAAGGACAUCACUCGUUCCUGACUGCACCUCCACACUAACCUUAUUGAGGCAGGAGAGACUCUUCUCCCCAGCACUGGGGAGGUCAUACCCCAUACUGACCCAGAUGCUCUUCUGAGUAAAGGGCUUAAGAUCAAUUUGAUGCCUGGGUUUCCUUUGGAGAAGGGGUGAUCCUUAUAUGUAUUCUUUCCUAUCUAUUUUCACAGCCUUGAGCAUGACAAGGACAAUCAGGUGAACAUUCUACUGGAAGCACUGGGAGCAUACCUAAAUGACUUCUCUAGGAUUCACACAUCAACCACGCUCCCCUCUCCAAGGUUCCCCAUCCUCGUCUUCCUCCUCUUUGCUCUCUCUACUUGGACCCCAUUGCUGCCUGUUGCUCCUCAUACACUCAAGUUAGGAUUGCCACUUAAAAUACCAGAUUCAAAGUUGAAUCUGAAUUUCAGAUAAACAAUGAAUAGUUUCUUUAAUAUGAAUAUCAUAGUGAUUUGAAUAUGUGUCAUCUCCAAAAUUCAUGUUGAAACCUAAUCUCCAAUGCAGUAGUAUUAGGAGGUGAAGCCUUUCUGAGGUGAUUACAUAACAAGGGGAAGCCUUCAUGGAUGGGAUUAGGACCCCCUAUAAAAGGGGUCCAGGAAGCAGGACUCUUCCACCUUGUGAGGAUGCAGCAUUAGUCCCCUUUCAUCCCUUAUCUGUCUCUUCUUCCACAUGGGGAUACAGAGUUUAUUCCCUCUGGAGAAUGCAGCAACAGGGCACCAUCUUGGAAACAGAGAGAUCAGACUCUCACCAGACACUGAACCUACUGACACCUUGACCUUGGACUUCCCAGUCUCCAGAACCAUAAGCAAUAAAUUUCUAUUCCUUAUUAACCACCAAGUCUGUGGUACUUUGUUCUAGCAACACAACAUUCUAAGACAAGUAGGUUCCAAAUUUUGCAUGGGAAAUAUACUAAAAUUGCAUUAUUUAUCUGAAAUUCAGAUUGAACUGAGUGUUCAAUUUUCAUUUCUUGUUCUACCCACCCAAACCCUCCCCCUCCCUGAGAUUCUUUGCUAGAUCUGGCAACUCUAUACCAAGCUCAUUUCUUUCCUUGGGAUAUUCUUCCUCGGACAGUUACUCCCUCCUCACUCAACCCUGGUCUCUACCCAAAUGCCUUUCUUCAGGAAGACCCUCCUUUGAUCCUAUGUCUCAAACCCAGCUCUACCUCUCCCCCUGCCUCUUGCCUUAUUUUCCUUAUAGCCUUACCCAGCCUAACCUUACCUUGUAUGUUUGUUUUCUUGUUUGUUUCCCCACUCUCAUGGGCUCUUCAGGAAGGCAGGGGCUCAUGUCUGUUUUGUUCACUGCCAUUUCCCCAGUGCCUAACAGAGCCUGGAAUAAAGUGGCUGGAAACUAUUUGCCAAAUGAAUGGCUUGCUCUGUAUAAUCAAGUGAGAAUUUUAGUUUCUGGGUCAGUUCAAGAAAGAAAUAGUAGGACAAAGUAGCUUCGAAAGUAUUAGGGGAAGAGUUGUGGGGGGAGGGGAGGAAGAGAUAGAGACAGAGAGACAGAAUGAAGAGACAGGAAAUAUACUGAGACCUUCCUGGGUCUGCAGAUCUCUGAAAUGCAGAAUUUCCAUGGGAGUCCACACAGGCUGCUAGAUCUCAUUUCCACCAAGGGCAAUACAAUGUAGAGUUUCAGAGCAUGGCCCCUGGCUCACGGUUUGAGUCUGAAAUCUACUUCUCACUUCUUGUCAGGCCACGAGUAAUUAAUUAACCUCUCUAGCCUUAAGUUUCCCUGUUAAGUAUAAAUAAAAUUGUGUGGGCUGGGGUUGUGGCUCAAUGGUAGAGCGCUUGCCUGGCAUGUGUGAGGCACUGGGUUUGAUCCUGAGCAUCACAUAUACAUAAAUAAAAAAUAAAGGGACAUUAACAACUAAAAAAAAAUUAAAAAUAAUUAAAUAAAUAAGGAAGAUUGUGGGUGAAGUUCUUAACACAACUGAUGCCUGGCAAGUGCAUAACAGAGCUCAGCUGUGACUAAUAUGCCUAUAGACAGCUACACUCUCUGAUCAUGAAAUUCACAUUCCUUGAUUACCUUUUUGAUUUUUGCUGACUCUCCAUUAUGGCCAUUUUUGAAAAACACAUUUGUUGUUGUUGUUUUAGAUGUUAAGUCAUGGCAAGAGAAUGGAGGGGGCAUGAUAGUGAUUAAAGACUGGCAAGCCAAGUGCACGGUAGGCCUGGGCAGGCCAGUGAGGCGUGCCUGCCAGCUGGGUGACUUGCUUCUGUAAGCCAGACUCAUUGCCAGAGGAUCCAAAUUCAGUAACAGCAUGAGAAUAAUUUACUGUAAUUGGGGGCCUUUAAGAUUUCUAGGAAAUAGUUGAAGCUACAAGUGUUAAGCCCAGGAGUGUGUAGGGUCCCUGCCACUGAGUAUACAACAUUAUUCAUGCAGAAGCCAGUCUGGCUUUGAUGUAGCUGGCUCUGUGUCCCUGUGCAUCCCCUAACAUUCUUUGAGCCUCACAUUCUUCUGGUGGGAAAAGGGAUGAUAACUUCUGCUCUGUUCUUCUUACAGGUUUGAAUGACCAUAAAAUGAUAUAGGGCAUGACACAGAGCUUUGGCAUCUGUAAACUACUAUGUAAAGCCCGGGAUCCUCCUGAUACCAUCAGCAUUGUCUGUAGGGUAGGGGCUUUUCUGGCUGACUGGGGAUUGACAGCUUCAUGGACAUCUUGAUGUCACCCACACCCAGCGCCUCACAGACAUGUGCCUUCUUCCUGGCGCCAGGGUUAAAUACCUUUCAGUUAUUGUGUCUCUAUGGGGUUAAAAUGGCACAAAGUGAUCAUACCCCCAGAACUCGGCCACCACAUCCAGGCCAGCGAUGUCUGCCAGAUGUGCACUUCCCAACCUGCAGCCACUGCAGAGGCAGGAAAUUAGCAACAGCUCUGAGUAAACAUCUCUCUUCUACAUGUCCAUAACUCAGCACUUUGCUGUAUUAGUAAUUGGCUACCAUUUCUAGGACUGGACAGUACACAUGAAAAGUCCCACAGUCCCCAGUGCCAGUGAGACAGUGAUCCAGGAUUCAGCCCUCUUCUGUCCCAGCCUCUGGUCAGUGCCCACUCAGAUGGAGUGCUGUGCAGUGGUCCAAUGAUGCAGACUGAGGCAGCCAGGCAGGGACAGGAUGUACCGGAACCUGUGACCUUGGCCUGUGGUCCAGGGUCCUGGCUCAGGCUGCAAAGCUAGAUUGCCUCUGAAAAGCAAAUUUUUUCUCUUGGUAGGGUGCUCAUUGGCCAGAGCUGACCUGGGACUAUAGCUGGCAGCAUCCUUACCUCAGGCUCUAUAGUUGCAGGCAUGCAUUAGAUAAAUAUUAACCAAGUGACGGCACCAACUAGGUACCAGGAUGCAUCAGGGAGGAGAAUGGAUUGUGAACUUCCUUUCCUAGCUAGAACGUAUAUUCUAGUUGGGGAGCAAAAAUAAUAAAUAACUAGAUUAUGCAGCAUGUUAGCAGGUGAUGAUCAUGGGGAGCAGCAGGGUGUGGGGAGCAGGUGUGAGGGCGAGAGGAACACUGGGUUCUACCUUCAACAGGGAGGGCAGGGAGGGCUAAUCUAGUGAGGAGCCAGCAUUUGAGUAAGUAGCAGGGGUAGAGAGAAUUUUAGGCAAAGGGAGCAGCCCUAGCAAUGGAGACUGAACCGAGUGAGUCAGGGAAGAAGUUGGGGAAACUAGCAAGUCAGGCCAGGGCACACAGACUCCCAGGCUCUGUCUGGGUGACCUCCAUUCAGGGAUGCCAAGACCAUGCUUCAAAACCUGGAAGAGAUUGGGAGGGGAGAGCGGGGAGUACGUGGAAUUACUCAGAGACCAGUUGUUAACCACGAACAGUGGGGAGAGAAAUGAAGGCCUAUGGAGUGGCACCCACUAUUUCUCUGUAUGUGUGUCUACCAAGUUUGUGUUACACACAAACUGUGCAUUUGUUCUUCCCUCUCUUCCUUCCCUCCCUCUCUUCUUUCCUUCCUUCCUUUAUGAAAAAAAAAGCCAUUUAAAAGCAGCCAGUGUGUGUGUGUGUGUGUGUGUGUGUGUUUGUGUGUGUAUCUUUCUGAAAAAAAAAUCAUGAUCAUUAAAAGAAAUGUCAGCUGCUAAUCCUGUCCAGGUAGAGACAUUUAACCUAGUUGGGUAUAAUGUGGGGAGGCUGAUACAUUUGUUUCAAUGGGAUUCUCAUUGUUCUACAAAAUCCCUUGCUGUCUGGAAUAACUGAGGCAAUCCAGAAACAUUUAAAGAACAGUACGAAAAGUUUUUAUUUCCAUCUCUGGAGAAGAUUCAAGAACCUUGACUCCAAAGUCUCAUUCCUGAAGAAGUCGUGACCUCUAGGUGUGAAGACAAUGUGGCUGGGGAGAGUGGAUGAUGGUGGAGUGGCAAGGUGUUUCUUGGAUUCUGACCUUGAUCUACUUCUCCUCUUUUCCUGGGCUCUCAAGUCUACACCCAAGAGAUCAACCACUUCUCACUAAGCUUGGGAUGUGAAAUAAUUGUCUCCAACCUGACUUCCACCCACCUCCCAGCUGGUGUCCUCACUGCAGGCUCACUUUCUCCAGUCCCAUCCAUACAGCAGCCAGGGUCUCCUUCCACAGUAGCACACAUGUGGACCCGGCACUUGCCUCCCUUAAAGGUCCCCUACCUGGGGCCUGCACUGGUCACUGUCAUUCUCAUCAUGAGUCCUAAAUGUUUGGAAAUGUAACUUAUUUUUCAAAUAAAGAAGACACCAAUAAAACAAACAAAAGUUAUCUAUUGGUAGAUAUAUACUUUUUUAUUUCUAAUUUUUUGGUACUGGGCAGUUAACCAAGGGGUAUUUUGCCACUGUGCCACAUCCUUAGUCCUUUUUAUGUUUUUGAGACUGUGUCUCACUAAGUUGCUAGAUUGCUGAGGUUGGCCUCAAACUUACAAUCCUCCUGCCUUAGCCUCUUGAGCCUCUGGUUUUACAGGCAUGUGACACUGUGCCUCAGUAGAUAUAUUCUUUUUAAAACUUUUUUAAAAUUGUAGAUGGACACAAUAUCUUUAUUUUUUAUUUAUUUAUUUUGAUGUGGUACUGAGGAUUGAACCUAGGGCCUCACAUGUGGGAGGCAAGCGCUCUACCACUGAGCUACAACCCCAGCCCUAGAAAUACACUUUUUAAAAACACAUUUUUAACAGUUACUUGUUAGAAAGCCAACUCUGAAAAAUGCAACUAUUUUGAAAAACAUAAACAUUCGACAUUCACGUCAUGGGUGCAGUUGCAAUUUUAUCUCAGCGUUGGUAUCUGAUUUAUUUCUGCAUUUGUUUCUAUUGCUCAAUGUUGAGAAACUUUGAUUCACAGAGAUAAGGCAUAAGAAUAGAUGGUAACUAUGGGUGAUAACAACUAACUGUAUAUUUCAAAAUAGCUACAAAGAAGAUUCUAAAUAUUCCCAGCACAGAGAAAUGAUAAAUGUUUGAGAUGAUAGAUAUGGUAAUUACCCUGAUGUGAUUAUUACACAUUGUAUACAUGUGUUGAAACACCACACUGUACCCCAUUAGUACGUAUAGUUAUUAUGUGUCAAUUAAAAAUUUACGAAUUAACAACAGUUUCAUUUUACAUUUUAUUUUUAUGUAGCCUUGAAAUUUCAGGAUUCUCUAAAUUAAACAGAUCCAAGAUUUUAAUGUGGAGUAGGAGGAAAUUUUGAUUCUAAUAUUGAACCAGUAGCACAUAUGUGGACACAGCACAUCUAAGUGCUUUUGUGCCUUAUAUUAAAUGUAAAAGUCAAAUUAAAAGUAGCCCAAACCAGGAGAGGCACUCAUGUAAUAUUAUCCUGACUGCACAGCUAAUCAUUGUGCAGCAUGGAGGGAAUGAAAGCCUGGGUUUUACCAGCAUCAGAGUGCUUCAGUGUGACCUAGUUUGCGAUAGUGCACCAGUCCAAAUUAAUUGAGAUGAUUUGCAAGGACUGGAUUUUAAGAAAUUACCUAUACAGAGCUGUACUCUUUCUAUCCAUUGACACCUUUAUUAAAUACUCAAAGUUAGACCUGAACUAAUUGAAAAGACAAAUUUUUGUCUAUCAAAGAGCAUUUUUUAAUAUAAUUUUUUUCUUUAUAUAUGACAACGGAAUGCAUUACAAUUCUUAUUACACAUAUAGAGCACAAUUUUUCAUAUAUCUGUAUACAAAUAUUCACACCAUUAUCAAAGAGCAUUUGCCUGGCAGCAUGAAUGAAUACCUUCCUGGCCUUCAAUAUGUUAAAAAAUUCAUACAAAUCAUGUGUAAAUAUUUUGUAAAAGUAUAGGUUUUUCAAAGUGAUUUAAAGUACAUAUUUGGGAAAGCUUUAAGAAUAAAUCAUUCUGUUUUUUAAAUAGAAAAUAUGACAUGGUGCAAAAUUCAAAAUGUAAAGAAUAUUUAGUGACUAAUAAAUCUAACCCCUCCACUCUGUCUCUGACUGAUAUUCUCCUUAGGGUAAACAGUGUUACCAAUUUAUUUGACUCCUACCAGGGAUAUUUAAUGUCUGCCACCCAUGUGCAUGCGUGCGCGCGUGUGUGUGUGUGUGUGUGUGUGUGUGUAUCUUAGUUUGGGUUACCCCAGAAACAGAUUGACACAACUUCAUCUCAAAGGGGCUCCCAGGAAACGCCUGGGAAGGGAUGAGGAUAGAUUCUGGGCAGGGAUAAGAGCCAAGGAAGGAAAGAAGCCUAAGUAAAUUACCACUGGGGCAACCAGAGCUAAUCCUGUUGGGGACCCUGAGAGCCAGCACAGGACCUGGAGCUUGGAGUUAUUUCUCCCAAGGGGAAAUGAAGUUGGAGUUUUAUAACAAAUUCCAUUGUUUAAGAGCUAUGAGGUAUGGGCAGCCAGCCAUAUGGCCUGGCCCAGUAGACUCCGGCAGUCAGUCAGAGGAAGCUCUUGUCAAAGAAAUGCAAGGACCAGCAGUUAAAGUGAAUUGAUACACAUUGCAAUGUUAAGGAGCAAGAGGUAUGAGCAGGGCACCAACAUUUGUUGCAAUAUUCUCCUAAAUACAUUUUGAAUGAAAUUUGAACCAGACAUUUGCAACAACUAUGAUCCAGCCCUGUGAGUCAGGCUUUCAUAGAGCCCAGUGAAGGCUAUUAUCAUUUGUGUGCACAGCAAAUAAACCCUUCUGGGGUCUGACUUCAGCAAUUAAGUCUAGUUCUUUUCCUAUCUUAAUCUUAGUCAAGUUUCUGGCCCUUAUUAUACAUUUAAUCCAUGCUCACAGGCCCGUAGACCUCCCAUCCCUGCCUCUGCUCAUGAGGUUCUCUAGGCCUCGUAUCCUUUUCCUUUCCUCUUACCUGCCUAACUUUACUUGCUCUCCCAGGUUCAGGUGAGCUGGAAAUAAGGCUGACCUUAGAGAUGCAGAGGUCUCAGUGAGAUGAUGCCGACAGUGUUUAGCAUGGUGUCUGGCACAGAACAUGAGCUCAGCAGUGGCUGUCUGUGUGUUUGCCUGUUGUCUGUCCACCUCCCCACCUGUCUUGUGACUCAGAAGACCUCCCCAAUAUCCCCAGCCUGGGCUUACCUAUUGGAAUGAUUUGUUUUCUUGUCUGGCCCCAUUCCAACUGUGCUUCCUUUGGACAGGAAGCAGACUUUGCCCAUCUGUAAUUCCCCAUGGCUGGCAUAGGGCCUAGACAUAGUAAAUGCUUUUGAAUACAAUUGAACCAAGUACACCGCACAGUGGCCAUUCUUCUGUGUUUGUAGGAAUUUUGAGGAAGGAGAAAGCACCAUAUAUAAGCUGACCCAGAAAGGCUUUUUAAGGUGGACACAGCAUGUCUUAUAAAAGACAUGCACAUAUAAAGACUGCUUCUUCUUUCUUCCUGGGGAGGCUUGCAGACAUGUGAUUUAAUUUCCAUGCAUAACUGUUUCCUCCCUCUCUCUCUCUCUCUCUCUCUCUCUCUCUCUCUCUCUCUCUCUCUCUCUAACAUAGCAAAUCAGUGCACAAAUGUUUUCUGAGUCCCUACCAUGUGUUGGGCACUGUUCUGGGGAAUGGGGAGAGAGUUGUACACAUGACAGGAGACCCUCUCGAAGACCUUAUACUCCCUUGGAAGGUACAGAAUGGACCAUUUCUUUGGUGUGGUCUCUAUUGUCUGCAAGUUCUGAAGAACCUGGAACAAGUGGGGCUCAGCAGAACCUGAUGGAUAGAAAUGUCAGACUUUUUGGUAAAGACACAAGGGCCAAGACUCCAAUCAGAGGAAGGAACCAAAGGAGAUCAAGGAUAUCCUUUAGAAACACACUGAACACUGGUCUGUAACAAGAGAAUGGAAAGUUACAAAGUUAUGAGUCUCCAUCCUUACCUGUGAAGUUCUGCUGUCCAGAACAGAAGAAGCAAGCCUACUGAGGUAAUCCUUAGUAAAUUACCAGUUGUGAUGACCAUCCAAGUAACAAUUUUUGGGGGGGAGGCUGGUACCGGGGAUUGAACUCAGGGGCACUCAACCACUAAGCCAAGUCCCCAGCCCUAUUCUAUAUUUUAUUUAGAGAAAGUGUCUCACUGAGUUGCUUAGUGCCUUGCUUUUGCUGAGGCUAGCUUUGAAUUCACAAUCCUCCUGCCUCAGCCUCCCAAGCUGCUGGGAUUACUGGUGUGUGCCACCGUGCCUAGUAAAAGUAACAAAUUUUUAAGCCAUUUUAUUUUGGAAUAAUUGUAGAGUCAAAGGAAGUUUACAAAAAAUAGAGUGACUGUGUAUCCUUCACCUAACUCCCCCAAUGCUAAUAUUUGCAGAAUUAAAGAACCAUAUCACAACCAGGAAAUUGACAUUAGUACAAUACACAGACCUUAUUCAGAUUUAAACUUGUUUUUCAUAUGAGUCUAUGCAAUCAUAUCAUACGUAAAUCAAUAUAACAACUAACACAAUCAAGACACAGAAUUGUUUGGACACCACAAAGAUAUUCCUGGUGUUCCAACUUUGCAGUCAUACCUCCAAUCUUUCCAAUUCCUCACUCCUGGCUACUGCUGAGUUUUGAAACUUUGAGUUUUUACAUAUGAGUUCUUUGUUAUAUAUGUAGUUUGCAAAUAAUUUUUAUUACUCCAUACCAUGUCUUUUCAUCUUUCUUAACAAAGCCUUCUAUAGGACAAAAUAUUUUAAUUUUGAAAUACAAAUUAUCCAUUUUUUUCUCUUAUGGAUUAUAAUUUUAGUGUCCUAAGAAUUCUCCGUAUUGCCCUAGGUCCUAAAGACUGUCUCAUAUUUUCUUCUAAAACACAUAAAGUUUUACAUUUAACAUUUAAAUUCAUAACACAUUUUGAAUUAGUUUUAUCUAAUAUGUAAAAUAUUGAUCAGGGUUUAUUUUGGUCUAACAAUGUCUCUUUAUAAAAAGAUCAUUCUUCCCCAUUGACCAUCUUUCAUCCCUACAUUAAAAGCCAAUUAUAAAUCCACACAAGUAUGGAUUUAUUUCUGGACUCUCUACUAUGUUCCCUUAAUCUAUCUGUCCUUCCACUUUACACAAUGUUUUGAUUACUAUAGACAUAUGCUAAAUCUUUUAAUUGAAUAGAAUGAUUCCUCCCACAUUAUUCUUUUUUUUCUAAAGUUGUUUUAUCUAUUCUAAUUUCAUUGUAUUUCCACAUAAAUUUAAUAAUAAUCUUGCCUAAGUCUACAAAAAGCAUGCGGUUUUUACUGGAAUUUUGAGCUACACCAAUUUCAGAAUUCACAUUUUUUUUUUUAAUGCUCAGUGUUCCAGUCCAUGAGUAUGGUAUGUUCUUCCAUUUAUUUACAUCUUCCUUAUUUUUUUUUAAUCCUCAUUUUGUAGUUUUUACCAGUCCUGUACAUGUUUUGUUGGAAUUAUACCUAUAAUCCUUUUUGAUAAUUUUUUUUUGGUAAAUGGUUACGUGUUUUAAAUUUUAGUAUCCACAUGAUCAUUGAGAGUAUACAGAAAUACAAGUUGUUUUUGUAUAUUUAUUUUAUCUUCUGCAGUCUUGUAAAAUUUUGUGCUAUACCAGUUUCAGAAUUCACAUUUUUUUUUUAUGCUCAAUGUUCUAGAAGUUCUGUUUUGUUUGCUUGCUUGUUCUUCAGUUUUAAUUCCUUGGGAUUUUCUAUAUUGGUUAUUAUUUCACUGGCAAAUAAGGAUAAUUUUAUUUCUUCUUUUCAAAUUGUAUGCCAUCAUGAUAAGAUUAUCAAUUUUGAGGGCCAUGCAGGUCAAAAAAUCAUUAUUUAAUUCCAAAAUAUUCUACCUCACCACUCAUGUCUAGAUUAUUUCCCUAGUAGCCACUGUGUGCUCAGGGAAUACAGCCUCACUCUUACAAUAGAUCAAGCAUCUAUUAUUAGGGAAAACAUCUGGAAAGAAUAAGAUACAUUCCAAAGUCAAGGAGGAAGGAUUUGGGGGACUUUUCUCAUCAUGCCUCUUCAUGAGCAAGGGUCAUUGAAGGGUGACUCUCUGUACUGUUUGUUCCCUUAGGUGACGACCACCCAGGGUGCAUGGAUGACCUUCUCAAAUCCACUCAGGGAAAUGAGCAACUCAUUUCCAAAUACUGGCCAAGGUCGGGACCUCCUGAGGCAGGCUGAGAGCAGGGAUUGAGGAAAGGGUAGAGUGAGGCUGUCUGAAAGUUGGGGAGUCUCUUCCUCCUUCCUGAAUUUAAAGGGGUUUUUGAUGAGUAAGUGUGAGGUAAAUCUGUUUCCUUCACCUCAGAGCAGGGAAAGGGGUUCCUGUGGGAUCCUGCAGGAGGUAGAUUUAGGGGUGGUUAGAGAGAAGGAAAAUAAGAUGAUGAUUCCUGUCCUUCUUCCCAGUGGUAGUGAAUCUAUGUAAAAAUAAAAGAAAGAUUAAAACAAAAACAACACUAAAGAGCUUCUCAAAAUGAAGUUGGGAGGCCAUUAUGGAAGCAGGACUUAUGCAAUUUAGCUGAUGCCCAGAACAUAAACUCUGAUCUCCUCCACUCUUUAGCCAGAGGCAUCUGGAAUAUCCUAAACAACUGAACAAUUGCAUUGUGUCCAGAGAUUAAAGAUGCAUAUGGAGAGGUCAUUAGAUUCUUGUUUCAUGGACAAUUCCAUUAUGUUCAUACAUUCUUUUAGGGGGUACUAAAUUCUUAUUGUUUCUAUCCCAUGCCAUAAAUAGCUGUUAUAGCAGUGAAAUAACAACACUAUUAUAAUAGCUUCAGAAGUAACCCCACUAGUAGCAGUAGCCAAGAGAGUUUUACCUGAAAUGCUGACACUGGCAGUAUGAGACCUCCCAAUGCAAAGAAAGUAGGUCCUUUAAUUUUGUUUCAUUGGGUACAAGAUUCACCUCCUUUUAUCAGGUAGUCCUUGUUCCUUCUCAACAUCCAAUAUCCCAUAUAAGUUCUUGAUUUUCCUGCCUUCUUCAGAACACUGAUUCAGAGAUAUCUGAAACCAGGACUCCUGAAUUUCAAUAUCUAAAUGCCAAAUAAGCUCCCUUUUACUUCUGUAGCUUAUGAAUUUGAAUAGAAAAAAAUACUUGGGGGGAAAAAAAGAGCAGUGUGUCCUUGAUGCCCCUGGGGACAUGUCAGAAGUGAGGUUCAGACAAGAAAAUGCCUUCAGUUUCUUUUAAACAUCUUUUAGAUGGCAAGAUACAUAGAACUGAAGAAAAAGUAGUAUAGUAUAUACUUCAAAAUAAAAAGCCAAAGCUAGGGCUGGACAUGAGGAUCCCAGAGUCAUCUGUGGAGCUGUACAAGCAAUGCUAUGUGAGUGGAAGGAUUCAGUACCGGUAAAUCUCUAGUUACCCAAACUACUUGGAUUAAAAAAAAAACAGUGCUAUUUACUUUUCUGAUAAAGUAUUGGGCAAUUCAUGGCUGGAAUCUACUGAAAUAUCACACUGUAUGCAAUGCUUAAUUGAUAGAUUCGUUAAAGGUGGAUGUGUGUCAAGAAGUUGGAACAAUGAGAAUGUAGUUCUCUUCAAUGUAUGCUUGGCUGUGGAGAUUUUUGUUUAAUCUAAAAUAACUAGUACCUUCAUUUGCUUUCUGUAAAACAAGAGACCCAAUUACAUUUUUUUAGAGAGAGAGAGAGAGAGAGAGAGAGAGAGAGAGAGAGAGAGAGAGAGAAUUUUUUUUUUUAAUAUUUAUUUUCCAGUUUUCGGCAGACACAACAUCUUUGUUUGUAUGUAGUGCUGAGGAUCGAACCCAGGCUGCACUCAUGCCAGGUGAGCGUGCUACUGCUUGAGCCACAUCCCCAGCCCCCCAAUCACAUUUUUAAAAGCUAGGUCUAUCUUGAAAAUGGUAAACUAGAAGAAAACUUAAAAGCAAAAUGUAGUUAAUUGGGAUAUUGAAUUUUUACUGUUUCUGUGUUUUAUCCCAUAUCAUGUGCACCUCAAGUGAAAUAACAGCACUGUUUUAACAGCUUCAGAAAUAAUUUCACUGAUGCAGAUGAGAUUUUCCAAUCCAGAGGGAGUAGGUGCUUUGGCUCCAUCAGAUGCAGGAUUCACCUCCUCUUACCCCAUGUGGGGUCUGAGCACUUCUAGUUCUCCUUCACUGGUGUUUGUAGCAUACCAACCCCUCUCUCACUUCUCACCCGAAUACUGACCCUUGGAUGUCAAGUUGAGCCUUCUUAUUCUCUCCAGGAAAACCUCUUAGUCAUCAGACAUGGGGGACCCCAGACAUCUCUCUAUCCUAGCAUUUUUAGACCCCCUUCUCUGUGCUCCAGAGUCACUGACCCUGAUUCACCUUUGUGCCUUGUGUCACCUCUUCUCUCCUUGGUUUCUCGUGUGUUCUAGGCACCAACAGGAAAUGCUCCAUUGAUUCUCAGGUGGGGAGUUGCUGCCUCUAACUUCAGCCCAAGGGGUCACUCAAAACCUGGAUCUGCAAACAUCUGUCUUUGGAUUACAUGACAAAGAGCACUAGUGUAUGGGAGGUUUAAUUAAAUAUAUCUUUGUCAUCAUUGGCUAGGUCUUGCCUCUAGCCAUUAAUAGUUACCACUGACUUGAUGGUAGGAUGUGGUUUUCAGCUUCAAUUGUAAAGGGCUUUUAGAGGCAAGCUGGCAUCUGAUCUGGAAACCAUUCCAUGUUUAUUCGUAGAUCUCAGGUUACUUCACAAUCUUUUCACUGGUAAAAGUUACCCAUAAUAAUUCUUUUCAUUUUUCCAAAUCCUGAAGAGGCAGCUAGCUUAAAUAGGGGAAUGAAAUCUAUGAGCCAAACACCAAACCUAAGCACAUCCCUGAGUCAGGGUCAUUCCAUCUUCCCACAUCAGAAAAGCCUGGAAAAACUGACACUGGAUGGUCUAAACCACCUUGCCCCUUAGGUUUAAUUGUAAUGGAGACCUCAACAGGAUCCAACAUGGAAGUCUGUCCCUAGAAGAGGCAAUGGCUUCUGCUAAAGCUACUGAUAUGGUAGAUGCUUUCUCAGCUCCUAAAGGCGAUAACCCUCUUACCUACUUCUACUUCAAACCCUGAACUGCUUUUCUUGAAAACCCUCACUCAACCGUGUUUUGAAGUCAUUGGAUAGUGACUUCAUGAAUUCACUGAUUUGGUUCAAUGAUCUUAGAAUGAGUUUUCUCUUAACCGUUGUGUUUUAUAUUUCAUUUGAAGAAAUCCACUUGCUUAUUUAUUUAUCCAUUUAUUCAUGCAACAAAUACUUAUUGGCUUCCUGCUAUAUAUCUAAAAUUAUGCUAAGUACCAUGUACACCACCCUGCCAUCAAAGGCCUCACACUGUGCUAUUGGAAUCAAGGUAAAUUCAGGAUAAGUGCAGGUUAUAGGUGCUGGAAUGGAACAAGAAUUGGCUGAUAUGAAAGAAGAUUCCCAACCCUAAAGAAUAAAGUUCUGAGUUAAGUGAUGCUAAAACUAAGAGUUUGAUGGGUAAGCUGGAGUUGGUCUUGAAGAGAAGGGAAAAGGAGAGCUUUUUCAGCAGAGUCAAAGUUUGUGCAAAGGCAGAAAGAUACACAAGAGCAGAUCAUGGAGGUUCAUGGGUUCAGCUCAGCUGGAAUAGAUUAACAUAUUAGAUUAAGGGAAGUCAUAGCAAAUAAACUGAAGUUGGAAUGGCAUUAUGGUUCUCUGAUAAAACAGAACACACAGGAUAGAAUUGGCUCAUGCAGUGAUGGCGGAGGCCAAGUUCCCAUGUCUGUAGGGUGAAUCUGGGAGAGACCAAGGAAAAACUGUAGCUUCGUUCCAGUCUGGGUCCAAAAGUCUGAGAGUCAGGAUAAUUGAUGGUAUAGUUCACCUUUGAAGGUUAGGAGUCUUAAGACCCAAAAAGAGCUGAUGUUUUUGUUAGAGACCAAAGGCAGGAGGAAAGCCAAAGUCUCAGUUAGAAGGCAGUUUGGCAAGGAAAGUUCUUUCUUAUUCAGAGAAGGGUCAGCCAUUUUAUUCUAUUUAGGUCUUCCAUUAGUUGGAUGAGGCCCACCCACAUUAGGGAGGACAAUCUGCUUUACUUAGUCAACCAAUUUAAAUGUUAACCUUACCCAAAACACCCUCACAGAAAUAUCCAAAAUAAUGAUCAAAUUUCUGGGCAAUCUGUGACCAGUCAAGUUAACACAUCAAAGGCAUGAACUGUUGAGAGAUCAUUUUUGAAUGAGAGGACAUUCUGAAGCCAACUUUAGGUUACCUUCUCAAAAAGGAUCAGGCUCUCUUACCUGACAGGCCAAGGGGUGCUGUGUUGAGAAAAUGUUCUCUCUCACCUUUUAAAAUCUUCUUAUUUUCUUAACAUUACUUAAUGGAUAUCACUUACUGUGUACCUACUAAGGGCUGGCUGGCUGAUCAGCAAACAUGUCCCUUCAUUCUCUCAGUAAUCUUAUCAUCUACUGUAAGGAAACCAAGGCUCAAAGAUCUGUGAACACAUCCAUGGUUAUCGCACAGGUAGUAGUUGGGAUUCAAUAAAUGUCUGCUGAAUAACAUGCCACUUGUUAAUGGCUGUGCAGCUAGUUAAGUGGUGAAGUUACAUCUCAAAAGAAGGUUGUUUCACUUUAAAUACAAUAGACUUUAAGGAAAAAAAAACACCGGUGAGUACAGACCAGGAAAAACUAUGUGAUUAUAGUUUGGGCAGCCAGACCUCUGACAUUCUAUCUUACUCCUCCAUGAGGUAGGCCAACAUGACUGGGCCUGAAAAAUUCCAAUAAUUCCAACAAAAUCUGUCAGCAUCUAGCUUAGCUCCUUGAAAGUGGCCUUGGGCAAUUAAACCACACAUAUUGGCAAACCUAAUCUCUGGUUCUGAUUAACUCAGAAAUUCACUAGCUCCAUUCCUAUCAUGCUUGUGAGUAUAAAUUUUUCCCUGUUAUGAAUCCAUACUUAAAAUGCUUUGGUAAUAACAAGAAAGAUGAGGGACAAGGUGUGGUUCAAAGCCAUCUGACCUCUUUUGAUUGACAAUGUUCAGUUUGUGGAAGGUAGAGAUGGGGGAGGAGGGCUGGUUAUGGAUUUCACAGAAAUUAUACUGGUCAGUCUCGGUGAGACAUUUAUUAAGGGACCAAGUCUCUUCCUAGUAAUUUAUUAUAUUUAAAAGCAUGUUAAGUCUUGGAGGUCAUGAGGCAUGAUGUCCCUCACUAGUGACACAUGACACAGAAAAAAAGAAGAAAAAACCCUUAAUCACUUUUCCCAGAUUCUUUCCAGCUUCCAAUUCAAGGGCAGCUUUACCACAUUAAGAGCACUGAGCCCUUCCUCACCAUCUCUUGUUCUUUGCUCCCUGACCCCUCCCAAAGAUAUAUGGAAACUGUUUUCCAUCUUCAAAAAAAAAAAAGUGUGGGUAAAUUCUAAAAGGGAGUUUUGUGAUUUCAUUUGAAAUUGCCAAAGACUUGAUAAGGAUGUCUCCAAAGGACAAUGUAGUUAUUUCAAUCAUUUUAGACAAUCGGUGGUGAAUAGUCAGAAAGAGGAAAGGUGGGAGUCGUCUAAGAGAAAAGAUUCAUCCAGGCAGAGGCUUUAGAAAUGCCCUAUUGUCUGAAAGCAACAUGAGUCAUGUUCUUCCAGAAAGGUCUGUGACCCCUGUGAUCUGACCACACUCAGUCUGGCCUCUCCCUUCCCUCUCCAACCACCUCUCUUACCCAAAGAUAGGACCCCAAACAAAGACUCAGGCUUCAUUUUCCAGUCUUAGAUGAAAGGUCAAGGGUUCACCUCAACAUGUCCCUCCAAGGAACAAUUACUGACCCUCCUUGAGCCUCUCCUGACCUCCAGUGUCAUGGAGUUCAACACAAUUCACAUCAGUCUUAGACAAUGGACUCAUUUCCAUCUCCCUUGCUUAUUCUACUCCAGCCACAAUGGUGUCCUUGCUCUUUCCCAAGCAUACCAGGCUCCCUUUCCCUUCAGGGCUCUUGCUCUUGUUAAUGGCCUGUGUUCUCCCUCCAGCAGCCUGGCAUGGUGCGGCUGUCCCAUUUCCUCUGAACUUCACUCAAAUGUUUCUUUCACAAAGAGGCAUCUAUGACUGUGCUAUUGAUAAUUCCAACUUCGGUCUGCCCUCCCCUCACCCUCACUACUCCCUUUCUGGGUUUAUGUUUUUUUUUUACUAGUACUUGUCAUCCUCUACUUGACCUCACAUCCUAUGUAUUUAGUUUAUUGUAUUUCCACCAUGUUUCCCUGUCCCACGAAGACAGGGAUUUCUAUUUUGCUCACUAUUGUGUUCCCAGUGCUUAGCAGUGUACUGGGCACACCCUAAACGCAGUUCAAUAGUUGCUAAGUAAAGAAAUGAACGAAUAAAGCAUAAAGUGAACAGCUAAUAUGUGCCCAAACCUUGAUGUACUCAUGCCUGAUGUGGGAGGCAAACUGCUUGCCCUAAAGAAGUUCAGAUUGCAUUUGGGAAGACAAUGCUAACAGAACUGGUGUCUCAGUUAUUUCAUUAUGAGGCACAGAUACUGCUUCAAAAAAUACUCUCAGAAAUUGGGGUUAUGUCUUGUUGGUGUAUGGUUCCCUUAAGCAGUAUGUAGUGUCCCUCUUUAUCCCUUUUGAUUAACUUUGGCUUGAAAUCUAUUUUAUUUGAUAUGAGUAUGGACACUCCUGCUUGUUUCCGAAGUCCAUAUGAGUGAUAUGAUUUUUCCCAACCUUUCACCUUCAGCCUAUGUAUGUCUUUUCCUAUCAAAUGCGUCUCCUGUAGGCAGCAUAUUGUUGGGUCUUGUUUUGUGAUCCAUUCUACUAGCCUGUGUCUCUUAAUUGGUGAGUUUAAGCCACUAACAUUUAGGGUUAUUAUUGAGAUAUGGGUUGUUCUUCCAGCCAUAUUUGUUUAUUUAUGUUACUAAACAUGGUUUGUUUUCCUCUUUGAUUAUUUCCCCCCCCCCUUUACUGUCCUACCUCCCACUGUUGGUUUUCAUUGUUAUUUUACAUUUCCUCUUCCUGUAAUGCUUUGGCGAGGAUGUUUUGAAGAGAUGGUUUUCUAGCUGCGAAUUCUUUAAACUUUUGUUUAUCGUGGAAGGUUUUAAUUUCAUCUUCCAUCCUGAAGCUUAAUUUCGCUGGAUACACAAUUCUUGGUUGGAACCCAUUUUCUUUCAGUGUUUGAAAUAUGUUAUUCCAGGAUCUUCUAGCUUUCAGAGUCUGUGUUGAAAGAUCAGCUGUUAUCCUGAUUGGCUUACCCCUAAAUGUAAUCUGCUUCCUUUCUCUUGUAGCUUUUAAAAUUCUCUCCUUAUUCUGUAUGUUGGGCAUCUUCAUUAUAAUGUGUCUAGGUGUGGAUCUCUUAUGAUUUUGCACAUUCGGCGUCCUGUAGGCUUCUAGGAUUUGGGAUUCUGUCUCAUUCUUCAAGUCUGGGAAGUUUUCUUGUAUUAUUUCAUUGAAUAGACUGCUCAUUCCUUUGGUUUGGAGCUCUGUACCUUCCUGUAUCCCAAUGACUCUUAAGUUUGGUCUCUUAAUGUUAUCCCAUAUUUCUUGGAUGUUCUGCUCAUGGUUUCUUAACAGUCUUGCUGAGCUGUCUAUGUUCUUUUCCAGUUGAAAUACUUUGUCUUCAUUGUCUGAUGUUCUAUCUUCUAAGUGUUCUACUCUGUUGGUAGUAUUCUCCAUUGAGUUUUUAAGUUGGUUUAUUGCUUCCUGCAUUUCUAGGAUUUCUGAUUGCUUGUUUUUUAUAACCUCUAUCUCCCUGUAUAGUUGAUCCUUUGCUUCCUGGAUUUGUUUGCGUAAUUCAUUGUCGAGGUGAUCUUUCAUUGUCUGAUUUUGCUGUUUAAUGUCUUCCUUGAUACUCCAGAUCAUCUGAAGCAUGUAUAUCCUGAAUUCUUUAUCUGACAUUCCAUCUGCUGCAGCUGUUACCUCUUCUAAAGUUGCGUUGACCUGCAUUGCUUGUGGUCCUUUCUUUCCUUGUCUUUUCAUACUGCUUGCGUAUCUUUCCUGCAGGUGCGGGCGGCGGCUCUGCUCUCUCCUUAUUCCAAUUGGGGUGUCGUGGCUACCACGCCGGCAGGUCACUGGGCCUGUUCUGGGAGCUGGUGGCGGCUCUGUUCUGCCCCUACUCCAAUUGGGGUGACGAGUGUACCACGCCGGCAGGCCACCGGGCCUGAUCCGCCGGUCGGUUGCAGGUUUGCCUACCCUGCAGGCGCGGGCGGCGGCUCUACUCUGCCCCUACUCCAAAUGGGGUGACGUGUCUGUCGUACCGGCAGGCCACUGGGCCUGUCCCGCUGGUCGGUCGCAGAUCUGCCCACCUUUCGGGCACGAGUGGAGGCUCUGCUUUGCCCCUACUCCAAUUGGGGUGUCGUGACUACCCCGCCUGCAGGAUGCUGGGUCUGUUCCUGGCAAGGGAGGCGACUCUGCUCUGUCACUACUCCAAUUAGGGUGGUGUUUGUACCACGCCGGCAGGCUCCUGGGCCUGAUCCGCCGGUCUGUUGUAGGUCUGCCUACCUUGAAGGCGCGGGCGGCGGAUCUGCCCUGCCCCUCCUACCACGCCUGCGGACCCCUGGGCCUGAUCUGCAGGUUGAUCACUGGUCUGCUCACCCUGCGGGCACGGGUGGCGGUUCCGCUCCACCCCCACUCCAAUUGGGGUCACGUGACCACCACACCGGCAGGGCCUGAUCCGGGCGUGGGAUAAGGAUCUGCUCUGCCCCUACUCGAGUUGGGGUGACGUGUGUACCACACUGGCAGGCCACUGGGCCUGACCCGCCAGGCUGUCACAGGUCUGUUUACCUUGCAAGCGCGAAGGGCGGCUCUGCCCUGCCCCUCCUACCACGCCCAUGUACUACUGGGUCGUGGGUCUGCCCACCUGGCGGGUGUGGGUGGCGGCUCCGCUCCGCCCCCUCUCCAAUUGGGGUCACGCGGUCACCACGCUGGCGAGCCGCUGGGCCUGCUCCGGGGGCUGGCGGCGGCCCGGCUCCUUCCCUCUGGCUCGAGGACAAAUUGAGGAGACUCGGGUGACUGAGCCUCACCCCCCUUACCAGGAGACCAACUGCUUAUGUCACCGCUGGUAUUGAUGAAGAUCUCUCCUCCACCGCUUUCUGCUGACAUCAGAUCUCUGCCAUGUUGGUAUCCUAUGCGAAUGGCAGCAUUUCGUUCCCCUUGCCAGGCAACCCAAGCAAUGGGUGAGUCCUGACCUGCCCUCAGCAGGACCCGGACCGAGACACAGUUUCCGCGGGCUCCUAGCCCCGGUCCAGGGAAGUUCCGGGAGCCGGAACUCGGCCGCUCCGUGCUCGGUGUAAGCUCCUAUAAGUGUAGGCUCCAAGAAGCAGCCCCCGCGGGCUCAGUUCCGGGAGCCGGAAUUCGGCCGCUUAGUGUUUGGUGUAUGCUCUGAUAGUAGCAGGGUCCAAGAAGCAGCCUCCGCGGGCUCCGCAGCCCUGAGCCAGGGCGGUUCCGGGACGGUUCCGGGAGCCGGAACUCGGCCGCUCUGUGCUCGGUGUAAGCUCCUCUAAGUGUAAGCUCCCGGAACUGAGCCCGCGGGGACUGCUUCUUGGAGCUUACACUUAUAGGAGCUUACACCGAGCACGGAGCGGCCGAGUUCCGGCUCCCGGAACUUCCCUGGACCGGGGCUAGGAGCCCGCGGAAACUGUGUCUCGGUCCGGGUCCUGCUGAGGGCAGGUCAGGACUCACCCAUUGCUUGGGUUGCCUGGCAAGGGGAACGAAAUGCUGCCAUUCGCAUAGGAUACCAACAUGGCAGAGAUCUGAUGUCAGCAGAAAGCGGUGGAGGAGAGAUCUUCAUCAAUACCAGCGGUGACAUAAGCAGUUGGUCUCCUGGUAAGGGGGGUGAGGCUCAGUCACCCGAGUCUCCUCAAUUUGUCCUCGAGCCAGAGGGAAGGAGCCGGGCCGCCGCCAGCCCCCGGAGCAGGCCCAGCGGCUCGCCAGCGUGGUGACCGCGUGACCCCAAUUGGAGAGGGGGCGGAGCGGAGCCGCCACCCACACCCGCCAGGUGGGCAGACCCACGACCCAGUAGUACAUGGGCGUGGUAGGAGGGGCAGGGCAGAGCCGCCCUUCGCGCUUGCAAGGUAAACAGACCUGUGACAGCCUGGCGGGUCAGGCCCAGUGGCCUGCCAGUGUGGUACACACGUCACCCCAACUCGAGUAGGGGCAGAGCAGAUCCUUAUCCCACGCCCGGAUCAGGCCCUGCCGGUGUGGUGGUCACGUGACCCCAAUUGGAGUGGGGGUGGAGCGGAACCGCCACCCGUGCCCGCAGGGUGAGCAGACCAGUGAUCAACCUGCAGAUCAGGCCCAGGGGUCCGCAGGCGUGGUAGGAGGGGCAGGGCAGAUCCGCCGCCCGCGCCUUCAAGGUAGGCAGACCUACAACAGACCGGCGGAUCAGGCCCAGGAGCCUGCCGGCGUGGUACACACACCACCCUAAUUGGAGUAGGGGCAGAGCAGAGUCGCCGCCCGUGCCAGGAACAGGCCCAGCGUCCUGCAGGCGGGGUAGUCACGACACCCCAAUUGGAGUAGGGGCAGAGCAGAGCCUCCACCCGUGCCCGAAAGGUGGGCAGAUCUGCGACCGACCAGCAGGACAGGCCCAGUGGCCUGCUGGUACGACAGACACGUCACCCCAAUUGGAGUAGGGGCAGAACAGAGCCGCCACCAGCUCCCAGAACAGGCCCAGUGACCUGCCGGCGUGGUAGCCACGACACCCCAAUUGGAAUAAGGAGAGAGCAGAGCCGCCGCCCGCACCUGCAGGAAAGAUACGCAAGCAGUAUGAAAAGACAAGGAAAGAAAGGACCACAAGCAAUGCAGGUCAACGCAACUUUAGAAGAGGUAACAGCUGCAGCAGAUGGAAUGUCAGAUAAAGAAUUCAGGAUAUACAUGCUUCAGAUGAUCUGGAGUAUCAAGGAAGACAUUAAACAGCAAAAUCAGACAAUGAAAGAUCACUUCGACAACGAAUUACGCAAACAAAUCCAGGAAGCAAAGGAUCAACUAUACAGGGAGAUAGAGGUUAUAAAAAACAAGCAAUCAGAAAUCCUAGAAAUGCAGGAAGCAAUAAACCAACUUAAAAACUCAAUGGAGAAUACUACCAACAGAGUAGAACACUUAGAAGAUAGAACAUCAGACAAUGAAGACAAAGUAUUUCAACUGGAAAAGAACAUAGACAGCUCAGCAAGACUGUUAAGAAACCAUGAGCAGAACAUCCAAGAAAUAUGGGAUAACAUUAAGAGACCAAACUUAAGAGUCAUUGGGAUACAGGAAGGUACAGAGCUCCAAACCAAAGGAAUGAGCAGUCUAUUCAAUGAAAUAAUACAAGAAAACUUCCCAGACUUGAAGAAUGAGACAGAAUCCCAAAUCCUAGAAGCCUACAGGACGCCGAAUGUGCAAAAUCAUAAGAGAUCCACACCUAGACACAUUAUAAUGAAGAUGCCCAACAUACAGAAUAAGGAGAGAAUUUUAAAAGCUACAAGAGAAAGGAAGCAGAUUACAUUUAGGGGUAAGCCAAUCAGGAUAACAGCUGAUCUUUCAACACAGACUCUGAAAGCUAGAAGAUCCUGGAAUAACAUAUUUCAAACACUGAAAGAAAAUGGGUUCCAACCAAGAAUUGUGUAUCCAGCGAAAUUAAGCUUCAGGAUGGAAGAUGAAAUUAAAACCUUCCACGAUAAACAAAAGUUUAAAGAAUUCGCAGCUAGAAAACCAUCUCUUCAAAACAUCCUNNNNNNNNNNNNNNNNNNNNNNNNNNNNNNNNNNNNNNNNNNNNNNNNNNNNNNNNNNNNNNNNNNNNNNNNNNNNNNNNNNNNNNNNNNNNNNNNNNNNNNNNNNNNNNNNNNNNNNNNNNNNNNNNNNNNNNNNNNNNNNNNNNNNNNNNNNNNNNNNNNNNNNNNNNNNNNNNNNNNNNNNNNNNNNNNNNNNNNNNNNNNNNNNNNNNNNNNNNNNNNNNNNNNNNNNNNNNNNNNNNNNNNNNNNNNNNNNNNNNNNNNNNNNNNNNNNNNNNNNNNNNNNNNNNNNNNNNNNNNNNNNNNNNNNNNNNNNNNNNNNNNNNNNNNNNNNNNNNNNNNNNNNNNNNNNNNNNNNNNNNNNNNNNNNNNNNNNNNNNNNNNNNNNNNNNNNNNNNNNNNNNNNNNNNNNNNNNNNNNNNNNNNNNNNNNNNNNNNNNNNNNNNNNNNNNNNNNNNNNNNNNNNNNNNNNNNNNNNNNNNNNNNNNNNNNNNNNNNNNNNNNNNNNNNNNNNNNNNNNNNNNNNNNNNNNNNNNNNNNNNNNNNNNNNNNNNNNNNNNNNNNNNNNNNNNNNNNNNNNNNNNNNNNNNNNNNNNNNNNNNNNNNNNNNNNNNNNNNNNNNNNNNNNNNNNNNNNNNNNNNNNNNNNNNNNNNNNNNNNNNNNNNNNNNNNNNNNNNNNNNNNNNNNNNNNNNNNNNNNNNNNNNNNNNNNNNNNNNNNNNNNNNNNNNNNNNNNNNNNNNNNNNNNNNNNNNNNNNNNNNNNNNNNNNNNNNNNNNNNNNNNNNNNNNNNNNNNNNNNNNNNNNNNNNNNNNNNNNNNNNNNNNNNNNNNNNNNNNNNNNNNNNNNNNNNNNNNNNNNNNNNNNNNNNNNNNNNNNNNNNNNNNNNNNNNNNNNNNNNNNNNNNNNNNNNNNNNNNNNNNNNNNNNNNNNNNNNNNNNNNNNNNNNNNNNNNNNNNNNNNNNNNNNNNNNNNNNNNNNNNNNNNNNNNNNNNNNNNNNNNNNNNNNNNNNNNNNNNNNNNNNNNNNNNNNNNNNNNNNNNNNNNNNNNNNNNNNNNNNNNNNNNNNNNNNNNNNNNNNNNNNNNNNNNNNNNNNNNNNNNNNNNNNNNNNNNNNNNNNNNNNNNNNNNNNNNNNNNNNNNNNNNNNNNNNNNNNNNNNNNNNNNNNNNNNNNNNNNNNNNNNNNNGGAGUUAGAUAUCAAAUCAGAGACAUUGCUUCUGAUAGAAGAAAAAGCUGGCUACGAUCUACAUACUGUGGGGUCGGGCUCCAAAUUCCUCAAUAGGACACCCAUAGCACAAAAGUUAAUAACUAGAAUCAACAAAUGGGACUUACUCAAACUAAAAAGUUUUUUCUCAGCAAAAGAAACAAUAAGAGAGGUAAAUAGGGAGCCUACACCCUGGGAACAAAUCUUUACUCCUCACACUUCAGAUAGAGCCCUAAUAUCCAGAAUAUACAAAGAACUCAAAAAAUUAAACAAUAAGAUAACAAAUAACCCAAUCAACAAAUGGGCCAAGGACCUGAACAGACACUUCACAGAGGAGGACAUACAAUCAAUCAACAAGUACAUGAAAAAAUGCUCACCAUCUCUAGCAGUCAGAGAAAUGCAAAUCAAAACCACCCUAAGAUACCAUCUCACUCCAGUAAGAUUGGCAGCCAUUAUGAAGUCAAACAACAAUAAGUGUUGGCGAGGAUGUGGGGAAAAGGGUACACUUGUACACUGCUGGUGGGACUGCAAAUUGGUGAGGCCAAUUUGGAAAGCAGUAUGGAGAUUCCUGGGAAAGCUGGGAAUGGAUCCACCAUUUGACCCAGCUAUCGCCCUUCUCGGACUAUUCCCUGAGGAUCUUAAAAGAGCGUACUAUAGGGAUACUGCCACAUCAAUGAUCAUAGCGGCACAAUUCACAAUAGCUAGACUGUGGAACCAACCUAGAUGCCCUUCAAUAGAUGAAUGGAUAAAAAAAAAUGUGGCAUCUAUACACAAUGGAGUAUUACGCAGCACUAAAAAAUGACAAAAUCAUAGAAUUUGCAGGGAAAUGGAUGGCAUUAGAACAGAUUAUGCUAAGCAAAGCUAGCCAAUCCUUAAAAAACAAAUGCCAAAUGUCUUCUUUGAUAUAAAGAGAGCAACUAAGAACAGAACAGGGAGGAAGAGCAUGAGGAAAAGAUUAACAUUAAACAGAGAUGAGUGGGGGGAGAGAAAGGGAGAGAGAAGGGAAAGCAUAUGGAAAUGGUAGGAGACCCUCAAUGUUACACAAAAUUACAUAUAAGAGGUUGUGAGGGGAAAGGCGGGGGGAAACAAGGGAGAGAAUUAAACAACAGCAGAUGAGGUAGAGAGGGAAGAUGAGAGGGGAGGGGAGGGGGGAUAGUAGGGGAUAGGAAAGGCAGCAAAAUACAACAGUCACUAAUAUGGCAUUAUGUAAAAAUUGUGAAUGUGUAACUGAUGUGAUUCUGCAAUUUGUAUUUGGGGUAAAAAUGGGAAUUCAUAACUCACUUGAAUCAAAUGUAUGAAAGAUGAUAGAUAUGUCAUGAGCUUUGUAAUGUUUUGAACAACCAAUAAAAAAAAUUCUUCUUAUAACUUAGAAUCCAUUUUUUGUUGUUGUUGUUGUUUAUUUUCAUAUCUCUUCAUUUUUCUAACAUUUUAAUUCACAUGCAAACUAGAUGUCUGCUACACCAUUAUCUUAUAAGAUAAAGACACAUUGCCUAAUGUAAUUUAUAACAGGAAGACAUGAAGCAGUCCAUUUUUCUAAAGGGCUCCAGAAAUUUAAUAUAUUUUUCCCAUGGCCUGGGAGGUCAGUGUAAAGUAGUUUUAAUUUAGAAGACGGCUUGAUCUAUGACUUUUAUGAAUCAGGUGGCCAGGAAGUUCCCAGAAUCUCUGACUAUACUUUCUUAGCCCAUAUGAUCUAGGAUUUGAAAAGAAUAAAUAUAAUUUGAUAUCACUGAUCCUGCCAAAAGCCAGCGGCAGGCCAGGACCUGGGCUUAUGCAUGAGUGAUAGAGGAAGCUGGGUGCCCACACCCUCUUCAGGGGUUGGGCAGAGAAGACUAAUUUAGAGGAAGUAGGGGCUCCGAGUUGCUUUGAUUUGGACAUUAAAUAGAGGAAUGUGAUUUAAUUUUAUAUAAAUAAAUAUUCUGUUGAACAGGAAGUUUUCCACUUGCUUUCUCUCCAUCAUCCCCUGUGUCCCAGGAGGCUGAGGAUCUGCAUCAACAGGCUCCUUUGUUCUGUGACCUCUGGUUGGGUUCUCCUGCCAAGGGAAGCCCUGGCAGGAGACUGGAGCCUGGUGGAGAGUGAGGGAGGGUCAUUAUUUUCCCAGCUCCCUUGUGGGAAUGAGAGGCUGCAGCUUCAAUAUUUUACCCAAUGCACAGCUCCUGUUGGACACCCCUCCCAUGUUCUUUCCAAAUUCUGGUAACGGCUUCAGUACUAGUGGUGCUAACAGCUUCCCCCAUUACUUGUUCCUAGGUGCCUCACCAUCCCUCACUCACUUCCCUAACCCUGUCUCUUUUGUAAGUGACCCUUUCUUAGCCUUUCACAGGUAUUGAUCCCCUGCUGAGCCCUGACUGAUGCUGUUUGUCAGAUUUUCAGAUGAGAAAAUUAAUUUAUAGAGAGAAGCAAUCAUUUCUCAAAAUAAAAAAAAAUGGGGGGGGACAUUUUGAUUAAAAUGGUGUCAUAUCUUAAUUCAAAUUUCCCGGCCUGUUCCUAAUUCCUAAGAGGUACUUGCUGAGUUCCUACAAAUUUAUGAUUUCCAAACAAAUUGUUUUCCUCAGCUGUCCCCUGUGAACCGAGAGAAAUUGCUGAGUCUUCAAUGUGGAAACCUGAAAAAGAAAAAAAAAAUCAUCAACUCAGGUUUCUACAUUUGAAACUGCACAGAUAAUACAUCUUGUCAAUGAAUUCUGUCACCUAAGAUCUCAACAGCUCAGCUUGUAAUAUGCAGGCUCCUGGGUUCAAAGACAUAAAAUAUGCUUUGACCUUAAUAAAUGUCAGACUGAGCAGAGGUGUACCAACCCUGCACAAUAGGGGGGAGGACUGCAAAUUGUUUGGAAAUGGUGAGUUUUAGAAGCUCAGCAAUGCUAUUGAGGAAUUAAAGAUAAAUUGGCAGUUUGGAUUAAGAAAUGACAAAAAUUUCUAGUCAAAAAGUUCUGAAAUAAGACCUUACAUUCUCUCUCUCUCUCUCUCUCUCUCUCCUCUCUCUCUCUCUCUUUCUCAUACACACACACACACACACACACAAUUUUUAAGGGAGUGGGUUGAAGUUGAAUUGGGGAAGGUAAAAUGGGAUUUCAUACUGUUUUCAUGGGAGGGCAGAAAAGGAAUUCUGGGUACAACCUGAUAUUUGGGAAGGUUUUUUGAAGAAAAUAGUUCCUGGGCUGACUUUGGAGAAUGAAUUAUUCAAGUAAAAAGUGGGUAUUAAGUAAAGGAGUUUAAGUAGAGGGAAUAGCAAGAGUAAAAGGGCAAUUUAGUGAAUGAGAUUAUCAAAUGAAAUUUUGUACUCAGGACCAAAAGAGGCCGUUGGGGCCCAUCAGGACUUUGAAGGCCAGACAUGGCCUGAGGGGUUACCAGGCACAAGCCUUGACCAUGGUCCCAGUCACUUUAGUUAUCGUUCCUCUUAAUCUUGCCACUCUCCUGUGGCCUACACAGGUUCCAAAAGCAAAGGAAGAGCCUCCCCAACUUUCUUAGGAAGUAAACAGGAGCUGACUCCAGGGAAGAGCACUCCUACCUGCCAUUGCCACAGCAGAAAGUCGGUCCAGGGGCAGGUGUUCUCUUUAGUGGAAGUCAGCCUCAUUCACUGGACUGCCCACUGGAAUUGCAUCCCAACUACCUCCUAGUUCCCCCUAUCCUGGAGCAGUGAGUCCCAGCCACAUCCACAGGGGCACAGAACAGUCUAGGGAAUGUUUAGGAAUAUGGAUUUUCAGAUACCCCUGGAGUCAGCAUGGGAACUGACAUUCAAAAAACUCUCCAUGUGACUCAGAUGUCCAGCCAGAUUUCAGAACCUCUCUUGGAGCAGCAUUUCCCAAACUGUGUUCCUCUGUUCUGAGAGCUGCUAGGUCCAAUGAUAUUGGCCAGCUGUCUUGAUUGCAGGACUGCUCACUUACCUGCUGCACUUUAGGAACCUCCAACAGGUAAGGCCAGGAGUUGGAGAGGAAUACAUUACACUAUAUUUUCUAAGUGUAUUUGACCACAGAUAGAAUCAACAUCAGUCUGUCUGUCUCUCUUUGAUGGAGCAUUCCUCAAGACCAUGCAGGACAUAGAGCAAGUCAUAUACACUUAAAAAAUAUAGUGUAAUAUAUUCCUCUGGGACAAAAUUGUCCUAAAAGCUCAUCAGUCACGAAGGUCCAUGCUGCAGGAGUGGGGCCAUGGCAGGGCAGGCUGCCUAGCACCCCGUUGGCCAGGGAUUGCUGGACAGUAAGAAAACUUCCUGGAGGCCAGCAGCAGCCUCCUGCACAAAACCCAACAGGUGAGUGUUCUCUUGCAAACCAUGGCUUUCCAGGGAGCUUCUAGUCACCUGGAGGGGAUGAUCACAUUCCUCCCAGGGACACCACUUCCCACUAGAGCAGAGUGACAAGUCUGGCUGUUGCACUAUGACACACAGCCUCAAAGUGAGGGAUUAGAUACUUAUUUAUGGAGUUUUAGAACUGAGCAAAGAGCACCUCCUUUCUUUCAUGCUUGUUUGCUUCAGGGGCUUCAAAGAGACCUAACAUGGGUCCAUGUAACAGUCACGGGCCAUCCACACCAUGAGGUUGAAGAAGUUGGAAAGGAAGCACACUAGAGCUUUGUACCCACGGGACCCAGACUGCUAAGGAGGAAGAAGGUUGAGUCCCUAAAAGGCAGCAGCUAAAGGAGCCCUCUUUCAAUGCUGAAUGUUCAAUGCAGUGAAUGACAACCAGUGCAGAAAUGAUCGCAACUUGCCACACGUGGCUGACAGGGACGUGCUGAAUGUUGCUGUGACCUUUUUCCUGUGCACAAGGCAGGACUGGCGAGGACAGUGCAGGAUGUUCCAUAGAUCAGCAGAACCAGGAACUGGACAUGGAUCAGCCCUCGCUGGGUUCAGAAGUGUGUUGCACAGCAUCCUGAGAACCAGCUGUGCAUGGGCACACCCAGGCUGCUACUGAAGCCGAGAUGGAGUCUUGAGGCUGGAGAAGUCUAAUUUCAGGAGAAGGAAAGGUUGUGGGAAGAAUGAAAAGAGAGGAGAAGGAAAGAAAAAAGAGAGAAGGAAAAAAUAGCAUUUAAUUGCCCAAUACUGGGAACACACAUUUUCUUUUAGGUUUUGCCAUGACCCCACGAGGUGGGUCUGUUAUUACCCCCAGGACAUGUUGAUAUAAAUAGGAAAUGCAGUGGUCCAGAAGUUUGCCCACAUCACACAGUAAGGAUCUAGAUUUCUGCUUCCCUGACUGAGGGUUUGGGUGCCAGAUGGGAAGGAAAGAAGCAGAUGGAGGGGAAGAGAGAGAGAUGCUGAAGGAAAGAUAGACAGCAAGGCUGGCUCAGGGGUCCUAGGACCAGAAACAAAGCAUAAGAGAAAAGGUUGAAGACUGUACUUCUUUAGGAUCUAAAGUGGGAUCUCGAGACACCCCUUUGUGUUUUUGCUGGAUUCUUCUCUCUAGAAACAUGUGUUUGGUAAUUUCCCCUCUUUCUUGUUGAUGUUCGUCUUCUCUGUUUAUUUACCUGUUCCCUUAGAGCUUCCAGGAAGGGCUGUGGCCUGUGGCCACUUUCCCUCUGGGUGGGAUGGGUAAAUGGACUCAGUGGGAGCAGGGAGGUCCCCUGAGGCCCAGGAGCAUCUUCACAUCCUCAUGGGAACCGGGCCCACCCACCUCUGCUCUUCCAUAAAUGGCGAUUUCUGUCUUGCCAACAGAAAGUUGAGCCCUGCAAUUUUAGUGAGACCACAUGCUUCUCCUGAGAUCUGUCCCUUUGCCAAUGGCCAGAGGAUCCUGUGGCCAGAGGGAUAAUUGGAAAUGCAUGGGCCAGGCAGAUGCCCAAUUCUGACAAGAAUAGCAGUUUGAAUAGCCUGAAGAAGACUUUCAAAAUAGGCAAGGAAACCUUGGCACCAACAUCCCCCUCUUCCUCAACUGUAACCCCAAGCUGGGUACUGCUCAACAGCCCUACCAGUUGCUGCACAGCUCCAUCCUGAAACCACGUGGGAAUGGGAUCUUAUCUGGGGAGAAUGUUUUGGGCUUCCCUACUGGGUAGUACUCACUUUCAGAGGCAAGGAAUCUGUCACAGCAGAGCUGCUGAGUGGCAGCCUCUUUCUCCCUCUAUUCCCAGAAAGCGUCUGCACCUGUGUCUUGCUGUCUUUCAUGACAGUGGGCAGGAUGUGAGCACAGGCUCUGAGGAUACAAGUCAGCUGUGGGCCAAAGCAAAAAUGAAAAUUUCUCCAAGUUCCCCUUUGAUUUCCUUUUGUGGUAUUACUGAAGACAGGGUCAAGAGGUCAUCUAGUUCAUAACCCAAGACAAAACCCACUCUAGAUGACCAGGGCCCAGGAAGGGGAGACUGCACUCACCCAGGGAAGACAGGGUGACACUGAGUCACACUCUCCAACAGCAGUGGAGCAGGCCCCUUCUGCACUAUGUGGAGGUGGAUGCUUCCUGCACAGGGCCCUCCUACAUGAUGAAAGUGGGCCAAGAAAGGACAUUUGAGCUUGUGUGUGUGUGCAUGUGCAUGUAUUCUAACCACAGGGAUUUUCAGUUAGUUGCUUUUAUCUUCCAGUUGAAUAUUCUUUGAUCACACACAAAAAAUUUUAAACUCUGUCAUCGAGAUACAAUUCAUGUUCCAUGCAAUUCACCCACUAUAAGUGUGCCUUCAGUGGCUUUUAUUAUAUUAACACAGUUGUACCACUAACACCAUUUUUAUCACCCCAAAAAGAAAUCCCAUACCCCUUAGCCAUCCUUCCCCCAGCUCUUCCUCAAUCUCCCAGCCCUAAGCAACCAGGAAUCUACUUUCUGUCUCUACAGAUUGAUCAAUAAUCAUCAUUUCAUUUAAGUGGAAUCAUAUAAAGUAUGUUCUUCUCAAUGGGCUUGUUUCACUUAACAUAAUAUUUUCAAGAUUUAUCCAUAUUGUAACAUAUAACAGUUCUUCAUUCAUUUAAAUGAGUUUAAUAUCCCAUUGUGUGGGUAUACCAUAUUACUUUAUUUCACAGCCAUGUGGCCAUUCUCUACUUUUUAUCUAUUAUGAAUAAUCCUCUGUAAACAUUCAUGUACACGGUUUAUGUGUACAAACAUUUUCAUUUCUCGUGGGUAUAUGUAUGGCCAUGUUUUAUUUUUGAAGGACUCUCUGCCCAUUUCCCAAAAUGUAUUUCCAGUGGCAGUGUGUAAAGGUUUCAAUGUCUUCACAUUCCCAACAACACCUGCUCAUCGUCCAUCUUUUUCUGAUUAUGGCCAUCCCAAUGCUGUGAAGUGGUAUCUUUUGUUGUUGUUGUUGUUUUUCUUUUUCUUUCUAUAUUUCUUUAUUUGAGCUUUAUGGUUGUACAUAGUAGCUGGAUUCAUCCUGACAAACUUGGAUAUGCAUGGAAAUGAAUGUUUGUUUGAAGCGGUAUCUUGUGAGUUGGAUUUUUAUUUUCCUGAUGGCUUGAACCUUUGUUUCUGAGAACUUUGUUUUGUCUCAUCCCAUUCUCCAGUUCUUUGCUCAGUCUGUUAAUCUGCAGUCUGAAAGAGGUAGAAAUUCUUCUCUGGGCCAUGACACCAUCAGUUCCCUGAGCUCUCAGAAACUCUGGAGAUAUAUAUAUAUAUAUAUAUAUAUAUAUAUAUGUCACAAAUGUAAACUGAAAAAAAAUAUAUAUCUCACAUUCCACUUUAUCAAUUGUUGUUCUUUGAAGUUCUCUGAAUCCUUUGAAAUUCUCAUACCUUUAUUUUUAACAGCAGGAAUUCUUCAAUAAAUUAAUAGCACAAAGAAAAAAGUGAAGGAGUAUUACUCUAAGCUUUGAAAAGGUAUGAGAUAUAAAUAAAUUUCUAUUAUUUAUAAACUCCCAGUCUAAGUCAUUUUGUUAUAUUAGUAUUACUCUAAGUUUUGAAAAGGUAUGAGAUAUAACAAGUGUAACGUGCAUUAUUUUUAUACCAGUAUUUGAACAAAUCGGUAAUAGAAAGACUUUAGGGGGAAUCUGAGAAAACUGAGUUGGCAAAGGUACUAGAUGAUACCAAAGAAUCGUUGUUAAUUAUGUUAGGUAUGCUGAUAGUAUUGUGAUCAUCUAGGAAAAUAUCCCCAUGUUUUACAGAUAUCUACUAAAGCAAGUAAAAUGAUACAGUGUGUAAAAUUUGCUUUAAAAUACAUCAACAAGGGGAAAAAAGAAAGAAUUGAAGCUCGGAUGGCAAAAUAUUCUACAAUGGGAUUUUGAGGCUUAUUUUUAUCUCUAAUUUCAUAUAUGUUUAGAGUUUAUAAUAAAAUACUACUGAUAAUAAUUACAGAUGCAAUUCUAAAACACAAAUGUAAACUGAAAAAAACUAGAAAAUAUUUGGGUCCCAGACUAUAGAAUGCCAUUCAUCUACGUUCUGUUAAAGUAUGUAGUAGGCCUAUUACUUGAAAAGUUUAAAAAGUGACUCAAGCCAUAUAUUCUACGUAGUAUUUUAGCUAAAAGCCUGUAAUGUUAGCUCAUGUUCUGAUGUUGGGUUAAAGCUUUAUUCUCUGAGGAUAAGCUUUGUGACUGGCAUUUGGGUUGUUAUUUUUUGACAUAUUACUAUAAUGUUCUUAUCUAUAAUUUUUAGUUUUAACUUCUUCAAAGGGAAAAGAGAAAGUUUAGCUAAUACAGUACAACUUGAUUGUAAAUAUUUUUAGGAACUUAGCUUUGCUUGCCACUUAAUUUGUUUUUCAGUAUAAUCGACAACUCCCUUUUUUAUACUUGCAUUUAAUUGAUUUAUAGAAUAAUCAAAUGAAUUAUAUUGUUAGGAUUCCAAGGGCUGCUGCCAUAGACCGCCUUGAGGACAAAUGAAGUUGGCUCUUAGUAAACACAUUGCUCAGUUAGUGGGAGCAAAAGUGCAUGGUGCAGUCUUCUAGCUGAGACACACUGGCCAGCACCUUCCACAGGAAGAUAGAACGAGCUAUAUAUGUGUCUCUUGAAAAUUCAUAUGUUGCAACUUAAUUCCCAAGGUGAUGGCAUUAGGAAGUGGCUGUCUUGGGAGGUGAUGCUCUUGUGGAGGAGAUUCAUGCCCUUGUAAAAGAUCCUGAGAGAUAGAGAGAUUCGACCUUCUGUCCUGUGAGGAUGAGGCUAUAAGCUGCCAUCUUGGAAGGAGAGAACAAGCCUUUACCAGACACCAAAUCUGUUGGCACCUGGAUCUUGAACACUCCAGCCUCCAGAACUGCAAGAAGUAAAUUUCUAUUAUGUGUAAACUCCCAGUCUAAUCAUUUAGUUAUGUCAGCAGGAAUGAACUAAUAAAGAAAUCAUGAUGAAAAGAGUAGGCUAAGAGGCAGUCAUUUUAAAGCUUGUUCUUAUGAGGAGCAAAAAAUCUAAGCCGUAUGACUAAUUUGUUCAUCUUCCAUAAGUUUUUUGAGUGAUGGGUACCUGGCCAACAGGUAUGCUGAAUCCAGAGAAUACUCAACAUAGUACUACAGACAGUGAUUCAUUCAAAUAAUAAGGCUGUGGCCAAGACCCAGGAGGCAGCAAACCAGGGAGAGGGGAAGUGGGCCCAUGAGGCUGAGUGCUUUGAUUAAGCAUCGUUGGCUGUUGCCCCUUCCUCUCCAGAGAUCAAAUUUGUUUAACUGUUCCUGUGAUGAAUUUACGAUGAGCUUGAAACCAGCAACUAAAACUUAAGCAUUCUGAACUCCAUUGCAGCUGCUUUCAAAGCUCCGCUUGUCUCUGUGUGGUGAGGCUGGGAGUGGUUGUUUUGUUCCCCUCUGCCAGGUGGUUUGGCAACCAUGUCCUUGUAGAACACAGUGUGAUCCUGUGGGAGCAAGAGGGAGAAUGAUUAUGAAUCACUGCAUAUCAGCACUGGAAGGGGCCGCCAUGGGCUCCGUUUCAACUGCCCCAUUUUAUAGAUUAGGAGACUGAAGUCUAGUGAAGAGGGAUGGCUUGGCUUUUUACUAACUUGACAACCACACUGACCACAUCCAACAAACAUAGAUAAGCUAUUAUUCCAAAACCUCUGCUCCAAAUUCUCUUUAGCUCUGAGGGACACUCUGUAUCACUGGAUGAUCAUAACAGGGGCAAAGUGACCGCUGAACUACAGAAUAGAAGAGAGACUUCAUUGCUUAGUGGGAAAAGAUCUUUAGUGACCACAUAACCUGAAGCUUUCAUUUUGUAGUUGAGGACACUGAAACUUGGAGCAGAUUAGUGACAGAAUGAUCUCAGGAAUGACCUAAAACAAGCAAACAAAUUUAAAAGUGUUGGAAAUUAAUUGGUGGCAAUAUGUACUACGUGAGCUACUAAGAUCUUCAUGUUGGCUGGAUUAGUUUCAUCCCAUGCAUUUUCUACCUUUCGUACCUGGAGCAACUACAGAGUAAGUUCUUAAAAUGAAUUGUGAAUCUUACCACUAUCUUACCACUCGAGCUAACACAGCCUCAAGCACAGUGUAUGUUCCAUAAGAUUAGAGAUAGUCAAGGGCAUAACUGGCUUAAGGAGUAGGGGAGCAGGGCACAAUGGCACACCCCUGUAAUCCCAGCGGCUUGGAAGGCUGAGGCAAGAGGAUCAGGAGUACAAAGCCAGCUUCAGCAACAGUGAGGCACUAAGCAACUCAGCGAAACUCUGCCUCUAAAUACAAUACAAAAUAGGGCUGAGGAUGUGGCUCAGUGGUUGGGUGUCCCUGAGUUCAAUCCCUGGUACCCCCUGCCCAAAGAAAAGGGCAGACUUUGAGGUGUGCCUUGGAAAAUGGAGAGGAUUUAGAGGGGUGAGUUAUGGAGAUGGGAACUGGGAAGAGUAGGUUCUUGCAUGGGAAAUACUGAACAUGUUAAGGAUACAGAGGGCAGUGCCCCUGGUUUGAGAAGACUUGGGACAUCCAACUGUCCCCGGAGCAGUGGACUAUGGGAGUGGUGGGCAAGGGGAGGCAGGCUUAUCACAAAAGGUUAAGAACUAUCUGUUCUUAAUUUUUCAGAAGGCUCUAGAGAGGCUUUCGGUUCCCAGGAGGGAAGAUCAUACAUAAUCCAUUCUUAGGAAAAAGUCAUUGCAGAAGCUGAUAUUCAGCGUGACCUGGGAAUCUUCCCCACUUCAGCCAAAUCCUCUGGCUCUGUGAAGAGGUCAGAAAUACACUGGAAAUUGAGUUUAUUGGGAAAUACUUUCAGAUCAUGGGAUAUCUGUCAGGGAGAUAAGCGUCCUUAUGAUGGUCCUGGUGAUUUGGGCCCAGCUGGUUCGGGAAGUGCAAGGAUGCGUGAAGAUUAGAAAUGCGAGAGGAGAAUGAUUGCCGAGCACCCUUUUGUUCUUCAGAAAGGUUCAGGCUCAGUUCAAGUUUGAGGCUGAGGUUUUGAUCCAAUAUUGAUUUUAUCAGCACCUGUUUGCCCCAGAACUUAAAAAAAAAAAAAAGAUAGUUUGUAUUCAUUCUUAGGAUGCAGUGGAGGAAAUAAUACUGACCACUUGUUGAGCAUCUGCUAUUAGGCCCUCUGUUAGGCUCUCAAAUGUAUUUUCAGCAAUAUACCCUCACAUAUACACAUGUACAAUCUUUUCAGCAACUUUUAGAGUUUUUUAUUGGUUCAGAAAGCUUUUUUAUUUUAUUUUAUUGGGGGUCAUGCAACCUGGACCUGGCCAGUUAUAAUCAUUCAUCACCUAGCCCAAUGACUGGACCAAGGAGUGAUGCAGGACCCACUCUGCACCAAUCACAGCCCUUUUUUGAGACAAUAGCUUCAUGCUGAGAAGAGAAGUGCUGUCUGCUGGGGUUGCUAAACUGAGGCUGUGGUGGUCCCUGGGACAAUUGUACUACUGUGCCCCUUCUGCCCAGGCCUGCUUCUUUUACUAUCUCAGGCUUUGUUCCUGAGUGUUUGCCUCACCACCUUCCUGCUCAUUUUCCUCCUGCACAGAAUGGUUUCCCAGGGAAUCAACCAAAGAGGAAGAGGGGAAGUGAAGGGGCAAGAUAGUAAUAGGGAUGGGAUGUUGAUGUUUGACUCUACAGAGGAUUUUCCUUUCAUUGCACAGUAUAAUUAAAAUGUAAAAAUACAAGCAUUCAAGAAACUUUCAGCAUUCAUUCAGCAUUUUUUUCCCAGAGGAAAACUCAAACCAGCAGCCUCUCCAUCAACUGUCAGAACUAUUUCUAGAAUAUGUCAGUGAUGGUUUAGCCCAAAGCAGAGGAGGUAGUCCAGAUAGCCUCUCAAGGAUGCUGCUAGUUUCAUUUCUAUCAAUUACCCUUUGCACAUCUAAGAGUUGCUUUGAUUGGAAGAUUUCUGAUAAAUUUUGCAAUUUGCAGGAGUGGAGAUUCAGUGCCUUUUAGCUGAAUGGGCACUGAUGGCAAAUGCCUCUGAACUAGCAGGGGGCAAUGCCGACAUUGGCCAGGCUACUAACUCUGGUCAACUCAUUGUUCCAUCGCUGACAUGAUUGCCAUUCUCAGAUCUACGGUGAACAAAUCUACAGCGGCAUUCCAAGAACUAAAAUACCCUUUCCCCACUCCAGAGCAGGAAGAGAUCUUCACAGUAAAGAGGUGUGGUCCCAAGGCCCAGGUUGCCUCUCACACAAUCACCAAGGAGGGGCCAAGUGCAAGCUGAAAUCCACUUUCACUCUGCUUGCCAAGCCAUGUGCCUUUCUUCAGUCUUCACAAAAGUUCCCCCGCACCCUGACCAGUUUCUCCCUGCCAGGAGUACACCUCCUUCCCGUGUAAACAUUUUCCCACCUGAAAAAGAAAGGAGCCUGGGCCCCAACGUGAGUGGAUGCCAGGAUCUGGGACACACCUGUGAUGGGCAGGUUUGUUCACAAUCCAUGGAGCAUAAAGGCUUAAUUUGUUUUUACAUUAAACAGACUGACUGUGACAACAAUUUCCUGCUUCAUUAUAUCAGUUCAAGGACUGAAAGCAUUUUGGAGAACAAGGAAAAGAACUUGCCGGGUUUUGUUUUUCAUGUAUAUAUUACUAUUCAUGUAGAAAGUUCACAGAGUUUACCUGUAACCUAAGCUCACAACCAAACAAAAAGAUUAGAGCUGGUCAUGUAGGGAUUAGCGAAAGGCUUCAAGUGAGACCAAAGAAAGACAAAUACAAUUUUUCCUUUCCUCUCUUUUAUGCCCUUGUUAAACUAUACACAUUAGUCAAUAUCUUGAAAAUUCUCCAGAGAAGGUAAUUCCACCUUCCUGAACUACAAAUGCUUGUGGGUGACCAUGGGGGUAUGCCAGAAGCACACUUCAGCCCAGUCUUCACUGCAAAGGCCUUUGGUCAUUCUGAAGGGGUAGAUAUACCCACAAAAGUGGAAGGCCAGGCCAUUUCUGAUCAGUUAAACACCCUGCAGUGAGACAUGGGCUGAAGGUGCUGGAGUUGGUGAGAGCAGUUAGCAUAUUUGCACUCCAAACUCUCAGUCUGAGGACAGAAAGAGCCUCCGUAGAGAUGUUAGAGUCAAUGGGAAAUGAAUUUGGCCUUGAGUUAUUCUCUGAUCCAUUUGAUUCAAUAUUAAUAUUAAUAAAAGAAUCCAAAAAAAACUAAUUUCAAAAUAAGGAUAGUUUGCCUGGUUCAAUGAGUAUCACUUGCUUGGAGCAAUUUGAAUGAUUUUGCCUCUGAGUUUAACAUGGCUUUUAUUGAAGAACUCUUUCUAAUGGGAAAGGAAAGCAGUAAGUCACCAGUACUUUAGCAAGAAUGAGUUUAUCAUCUGGAACCAGGGAAUGAGAAGAGAAGUCUGGUUGUGUGGGUUGUAAUUAUAAUGGUCAGGGACCUGGAAAUGAAGGAGAAAGAAAGCCAACAGGUAAGUUUGUCUCCAACCUUCUCCAUGAAUUUGUUCAAGGUUAACAGAUCAGGCUAUCUUAGCCUCAGUUGUGCAGUCAGUGCAUUGGGAGAUGUGGAUUUCCUUAUUUUUGUAUGACAGGGUUAUCACUGACCUCCAGACAUAAACAAUACAUCCCACAAGCCGAUGCUGUUGAGUCAGGUUUGGCCCACCAGGAUCAGGGCAAUUGAAAACCAAUCUUUCCUGACAAGCCCUUUUUGAAUUCCAAAGUUGGUGCGAAGCAUCUGAAAAAAUAAACCCAGGCGGAAAUAACUCCUAGAGGGAACACAGCUGCUCUAUAGUUGUUCUGUGGGGUUAGGCACCCAGAGAAAACCUUCCUCCUGCAAACAGAACAGACCAUAGGAUCUGGAGGAGAGAGGCAACAGAGCAGCUAGAGAAUGUGUAGCUCUGGGUUUACCUGAACUCCUUGUGUUCCAAAAGGUUUUCUGCAUGAAAGACCCAUGAUCACCUGGCAGCCCAUCUAGAUACACUGAUCCAUCCAUCCAUCCAUCCAUCCAUCCAUCCAUCCAUCCAUCCACCCAUAUCCGUCUAACUGCCCUUUGUCCACCCACCCAUCUACCUAUCCACUUGUCCCCCAAACAGUAGUUGAUACCUGUUACAAGUGUCAAGUUAAGAACAGAUGGUCACAUAUACCCAUCAUCUACUCCCUGGGUAGGCAGGAAAUAGGGAGAUGUCUUUGGUGAAGGAAAUAGCUGAUACACAGAUAAAGCCCAGCAAGAAGCAGCACAGCACAGAGCUAAGGAGCCCAGGCUCUCGACUAAGCUGUGUUUUAACAUGAUUCUUUCUACUUGAACAGGAAAGUUACCUAACUUCUGAGUUCCGUCUUUUGUGAAAUGAGGGAAUUAAUAGUAGCUCUCAGUUUACAGGGUUGCUAUAAGAAUUAAAUGAAAGUCAAAUGUUUAGCACAGUGCCUGGCACCUACAACAUGCUCACGACAUUUUAGUUGUUAUUGAAGACAGGACAUCUGGAGAAGCGGAGGUGAAUUCUUUAGCCUAAAGAGGCAGCGGGCAAAGGGAGUUUCUUAAGAGACAAAAGGAUGAGUCAGAUGCCGUGGCCAGGCCCUCAGGACAUUUUACAUAAGCCUAGCCACCACCGGGCAUGAAGGGACUAAAUUGUGGAGGAAACUGAAACCUGUGGUUUUCUCCAUUUGUUGGUCUUCAUGUUCUUGGAGGUCCAGCAGCACCUUAAACCAAUACUGUGGUUGAAAGGCCCUGCUGAGAAGAGUCCUCAGUUGAGGCGCAUCCCCCUACAAGAACAGAGGGAGGGAGGUCAGUACACUUAGAGGACAGAAAUCCUGAUAAGGGGCUCAUUGUCAGCCAGGACAGCCUGCAGUGCAAGUCAAGGCAGCCAAAGCUCCUGAGCCUGGGGGGUCCUGGCUCUUCUCUACUAGAUAUUCCCCAAGGAAGCAACUGAUAAAGGGAGGUCAGAAGUUUCAGGAAAGUCAAAGACAGAGGGGUUCCCAUAAAACACGGUGACUUCUGCCAACACACUGGAAUGUCUGGAGGAAGGAGAGACCCUGGUCAGAAUCAGACGUCUGGGUGGGAUGGAAAGGUCAGAUUAUAUGGUCCUUGGAAGGGAAGGGUGGGGAACGCCCUCCACAGGCUUCUUUGGGCCAGCUGGUCCUGGGAACAUGGCAGUCAAGGUCAGAUUGAUGGACGAUACUGUGGUUAAUAGGGAGAGGCUCCUUUCAGCCUGGGGAUAGGGACUGGGGAGCAUGAACUGAACAGAUGGAGGUGAGUGGAUUACCAGAGUAGACAGCAGAGGCCCUGGGGGACCCAUUGUCAAACAACUCUGGGACUCUUUCUGUCUACCUAGAAGGUGAAAAGCAAGUGUCUGGACACCCCUGUAGACAGCAGUGAGACCUGCCAUGUGGGGUUAGCAGCCUGAAUCUCUGAUGGGAAUACAAAGCCAUCAGAAGAUUGGAGAGACCCUGAACACAGGAAAAAGUGAUUGUAAAAGAAUUGUGCCUCUGGUUCUGAAAUGCUGAGCUGGGAGACAGGCUAAGAGGAAGGUGGCAGUACUUCCAUCUUACUCUUGAGAGCCUCACUGCUUGGUGGCAGACACUCCUGCAGCAAGGUCCUACAGCAAGGUAUAUGCCCAAACGCACUGGGACAACAGGCCUGACUUGUUCAGGACAUGCCACAUGCAGGGAUCUCAAAAAAUUCUAUCUCAUCCUUUAAUUCACAUCAGGAUAAGCUCAAAUACCAAUUCAAAAGCCUGUGGGACAUACAGAUCACCUCUAAGAUACCUAUCAAUCCUCAGGAGGCCUAUCUGUGGUCAGCCUUGGCUCUGAGUUCCUGCUUCCGCAUACAAUUCCUGACUCAGCUCCCUGUUCUGUAGAUCUUGUCUUCAUCUGACAUCAUGGUGAUCCACAUGUGGAAUUUGUCUUUUCCCCUUGAUUUCUAUGAAAACUGAUGCUCCUACCCUGCCUAUGUGAAUGCCUGUGAAACAGACUUUGCUGAAGGGAUUAGGGACACUGCAGAGGGCGUCACAUCAGGGAAGAGCUGGUGACUGUAUAUUCUCAAUAGACUUCUUCAUUCUCUUCGCAGCUUGUUGACUUCUCAACCAAGUAGCUCGCCAUCCUUUUUUUUUUUAGAGGAGGAAAGGUUUAUUUAGGGGCUCACAGUUUCAGAGGUCUCAAUCCAUAGAUGGCCAGCUCCAUUCCUUGGGGCUUGAGGUGAAGCAGAAAACCACGGUGGGAGAGUGUGGCAGGCAGCUCACAUCAUGAUCAGGAAGCAUAGAGACUCCAUUCGCCACAUACCAAAUAUAUAUACCCCAAAGCCAUGUCCCCAGUGCCCCACCUCCUGCAGCCACACCCAGCCAGCCUUCAGUUACCAUUCAGUUAAUUCCUAUUAACUCAGUGAAUUAACUGGGAUGCUCACCAUCUUUCUUUUUUUUUUCCCCAUCACUCCUCCACGAUCUUUCUCUCCUUGUCUCCAUCCCCAACUCCUGUGGAAUUCCAAUUCAGAGUUUAAUUAUCAUGACCUUUAUCCAUCUUUUUUUUUUUUGACCAAGCUAGGCCCCUCUUAGAAAAGGUAAAAUAAUUUUUUCUCACUCUGACAAGCUCAACUGAGGGCAGAUCAUAGGAGGCUGCUUUUCUUUCUGGCAUAGAAAGAGUUAGGACUUUUCUUGCUCCUGUGACAUCUGUGAAGCUGGUUCAGGAAGCCAAGGUGGCCCUGAAGGUUCUCAUCCUUCCUCUGCCUGGGGAAGUUCUCCCUGUGCUGCUGGGAUCUUCUCCAAGUGCUGCUUUAUCUUCUCUACUAGGUAAGGGAUGACCCUAGACCAUGCAUGAUGACCCCAGACCAACUGCUAAUCAGAGCAGCAAACUUUAGACCUGGAGGUCACCCCUCACAAGCAUUAUUUCUUUUAGUGAAAAUCAAACAAAACUUUAACCCUCAUUAGGAAAAAAGGGGCAUGGAGUGGUUCAGAGCACUUGCUAUGACUAUUGCCUCCACUCUCCAUUCAUUGACUACUCUAGGAUGGAUACAACUGAACAGAAGGACAGAAGGGAGUUACAGUUAUUGACUGGCCAAAUAGAUUUUUAUUGAAUACUUUGAAUACAUGAUACCAUUUUGUCUUUCAAGAGAAUCUUCAAGGUUUCUCCAACAGAUUUAUGUACAUUUUAUAGAUGAAGAAACCAAGGCUUGGAGGUGAAGUCUUAACCAAUCAGGGGUAAAGGUUGAUUUGAACAUAAUUUCCCCUCCUCCAAAUCCCAGUGGCUAUUAUUGUGCCAGUAUCCAUCCCCCAUCCCAUGGUGACUGCAUGCACAGGGAACAGAUAUGAGAUUAGGAGAGGAAAAUGCCUACAAGUCUGAAGAGUAAAGAAAGACACAACGAUGCUGAGGUCCAGGUGGGCCUCUGCAACUACAGCCUUUAGAUAGUAAGUUCUUAGUUUUCCCCUUGGUUCUUGUCAAGGCACCUAUGGGAAAAACCCUAAUCUGUCUCAGAUGAAUAAAAAAGCAAGGAAAUUUUGUUAAUGUUCUACUACUUUUCCUUUAACAUGUCCCAGAGAGUCUAGUGUGGGAGUAGAGCUGCAAGAACAAUCACCCUGAAUCACACCUGAGCCAGGUGCUACACUGCUGCUAGAAUUUAAAACCACAUUUCCUCCUCCCAGUAACCAAGUAUUGGAAAUGUUGACUGGCCUUAUUUUCUAAAUAAGGAGGUGAAGAAACUUAACAGCUUGAUGACUCAUCAUAUAAUUAGUCUGUAAACUCUCAUGUCUUAACAGUUUUCAUCAAGAGCUUUUAAUGCCCUCUAACCUUUCUUGCAAGUAUCAUAUAUAAUCAUGCCAACACCCCCACCCCAUUAUCCCUCAGAGUGGUCUUAAAAAUCUCUUUAAAAUCAGUAUUACUACACACUGUAUGUUAGAGACAGAUGGAUAUCCUGUCAGAUCACAAAUACGGAAAGUAUUAUUGUGGCUUGGGGUAACAUUUCCAAUGACAACAUCAUACUUAGGUUCAAAAAGUGCUGAAUCUCAAGCAGCUUAGAUGAAUAUGAAGAUGCUGUGCUUGAGAAAGUGGGCUUGGAGAACCAGCUAGUGAAGAUCCAGAUACUGAUGUCAAAGGUGCAUUGAUGAGUCCGAUUAAAAGCUCUGUUGUGAGGGCUGGGGUGUGUCUCAGUGGUAGAGCACUUGCCAAUCACGCCUGAAGCCCGAGUCUGAUGCUCAGCACAGCAGAAAAAAAUAAAAUCAUAUUGUGAGCCGGUAAAGGCAAUAUUUCUGCUUUAGAAACAUGAUGUAAUUUUUAAACAUAUAAUUGAAACUAUUAAGAUAUUAAUAAUAUUUAUAUUUAAUAUCAUAUGUGAUUUUAAGUAUAAGCAAUUAAAAUACAUUAAGUAUUAUGUAGAGAUGUCUUUCUAUAUCAUCUAAGCUUGACACAUUUCUAUAUUCAAGUCAUCAGUCUUGGGAGCUCAUUAGGUGAAUGGGCGCUUACUCAAAUGUCAUGCACCCUCUGCUCCCCUCUCAUGGAGGUGAUGGCUAUAUCUUAACUCACAUGUGAUCCAGCAUACAAUCUGUCCCCAGUCACAGGGUGUUGAAUUGUUGCUGCCAUUUAUAGAGAUAAAGAAAUAGGGAUUCCAACAGGCUAGGAGACUUUGCCAAAACACACAGCUAAUAAUGAGCAGGGCUGGUUCUGGACACUUUCCUGGCUUCCCAGCCAGGGUACAAGCUGCUACACCAAGUGGGAGCACAAGGAAACAUUUCCUCCCACCCCACUGGGAAAAGAGCUCCAUCAGGCACUUCACAAAUCCAUGACUUGUGGGCCACAGAGUCAGAGGAUCUCUGGAGGCGUUUGUUAUUCCCAGGUUUGGCCACAGCCCAGGGCAAUGCCUUGCACAGGAGUUUAGCCUUUUGCUAAUUCGUUCUUAAUUCAUGACAGCUGAGAAACAGAACUGGCCACAUUGGAUCAUGUGGUUUAGAAAUUCCACUUUUUUUAACUAACAGUAUCUCUUUAUUUUCUCCUUUUCUUUCAACACAUGGUAGCAGCAUUACGCACUGCUGAUAAACUACGUGGAAGGGGCCAUUCCUUGGAACACUCUCAGUGGGAACAGACUCAGUGGAAAAUUCUGCAGAUGUGUGGUAACGUAUGAAAUACUAGGAAAAGGGAUUUGACAGAACAGGACUGACAGCAAGGUUGCUAAUGAUGCCAGUUGACAUAUAUUUUUACAUGGAAUUGAGUCACAGAAAUUUAAUCACAGUUUAUGGAGAUUCUGGAGGUACAUUCCCACAAGUUAAAAAAAAUGUGGUCUCCAGAUAUAAGAAUUAUACUUUUUUAAAAAAAAUGUUAGAAUCCCCUUCUAUGGGGCUAGGGGUGUAGCUCAGUGGUAGAGUGCUUGCCUAGGGUGCACAAGGCUCUGGGUUCCACACCCAGCCUGGGUGGGAGUGAGGGGCAGGGGGAGAAUAUGCAGUGUGUGUGUGUGUGUGUGUGUGUGUGUGUGUAUGUGUGUGUGUGUGUGUGUUGGAUCUUUCUCUCCUUGGGACAGGAAAUGCUCUCCAUAGCAUGACCAUCUCUGGUGGAAUCAUACUGCAGUCACAAGUGUUUUUCUGCCUUGCUGUCUUCCCACCAUUCAACCAAUCAAAAUGCCCUGUGGAUCUCCCCGACUCUGUCUUCUUUCUUUCCAGCCCCUCUACAGACCCACUUCUUUCUCUCAAAGUUGCCCACCAUAAAACAUUCCUCCUGGGCCCUCACUUUGAAGUGAUGAGGUCCCACAGUGGUAGGGUCAGAAGACACUUUGUUAGCUCCCUCCAUGCAAGCCCUUUUGGACACAAAGAAAAGGACUAAAGGACCAAAGAAUUCUAUCUUUAGUGGUGACCUGUCAGGACAAACUCUGAGAUUGACAUCUGUAGUCUCUUAGUGCUUUUCCAGGUCCCACAAGAGCAACCAAUGGGACAACCUGACCAAAGGGAUCGGUCCUUGGAAUCUUGGCAUUAUUCUUGGCCUUGCAUCUCUCCCCCAUUUGACCUUAACAGCCCCCCAGAUCCACCUCCCUGGGUCUGGAGGGCCUACUCACUGUGGGGUUGCUACCCAGAAGAAAUUCCAGAUUCAGACUGCUGGCAAGAGUGACUCGGAGAGGACGGCCUGGGCUUAAAUCCUCAUAGUCAAAAGCAAACAUUUACUACAGCCCCUUGAAGAGUCAACUUUUAUGUUACUGCAAACUUGGCUAUUUCAGAGAGACCAAAGGCCAAAAAGGCAGUUGAUAGUUCACAUUUAUCAGCCACCACCUAAACCCUUCAAUGUAGUCUCUUCCUUCCCAAGAUAAAGCCAAGAACUACAGCAGGGCCUCAAGAUGGGGCCUUGCUGAGCUCUCUGGCUUCACUCUGCUCCACCGACCUCUCUUCUGGGGCACUUCAGCCAUCCUGUCUCCUUUCUGGGGGAGGUGUUGCCUCAUUCCUUAAUCCUGGUCAGGCCCCUCAUCCCUGCCCCAGUACACCCGCUCAGCAACUUAACAGUUUCUGAAGGGCUUAUGCAAUUGUAAUGAAGUGAUGAUUGAGAAACCAGUGAGUGUCUACUUCACCUUCCUGAAUGUCAUCUCUGAGAAGACAGGGCACAUCUCUCUCUUGGCCCCCACAAUAUUAGGACCUUGUGUUACGUAUAUAAGGAGUACACAAGAAAUAAAAAGAUUGGUCAAGGUGGGCAGAAUUCUGGGCAACCACACACUGAAUAUGGGGGUUGGCCCAGCUGACUAGCUGUGGGAGCCCAGAGGGGUGCAGCCUGGGUGGCUUGUGAGGGCAGCCAAAGGACAAGCUGGCAGGCCAACUUGGGAGGGAAGCUCAGGCAUGGCGCAUUUCACAAAAGGACCAUGCACCGUCUUAUUGGCUGUGUUUCUCCAGUGUUGAGUAAAGACAGGACUCUGGAGUUUGGCUUUCUGGUUUUGUUUAUUUAUUUAUUUAUUUAUGAGCAAUACAAGAUUAGAAGAAGAAGAAAAACAAAACUGUUUAGAAGGGAAUAUGACAUUUAUUUAAUUCUUGAAGGUCUGGGAAAUCUCAUGAAGAAUUAGACAAGUUCCGGCAGCCAAACUCCCUCUCUACACUGCACCGCCCAGGAAGGACCCUGGUCAUCCGUGAACCUUAGGGUGUUUGUGGCUCCAACUCAAAGAACUCUGCUGGCUUUGGAGUCUGAAAGAUUUGGGUUCAAAUCUCUGUGUUUCACUUACCAGCUGAAUGAACUCGAACCAACAACAUAAGCUUUCUUUGAGCUUCAACAUCCUGUCCUGUAAAAUGGUCAUAAUUACUGGGUUAACAUAGGAAUUAACAGACCAUAAGUGAUGUUUGACCUAGAGUAAACAAUAGCUGAAAUGACUGACGGAUGAUUUUAUUACCUGCCAGCUUCUAUUUUACUAUUCUGUAAAUUUGGACUCUUCUCUUACUGUGAGUUAAAUAACCCCCUUGAGAAACAGGCAUCACCAUUGAUAGGGAAUUUUUUUCUUAAAUAAUAGGGGGGGGUGGAGAACUUUCUUUAAGCUGUUCUUUAAUCCCAUUCAAUCCAAUAGCAGUUCUGAUUCAGAAACUGCAGGAUGGUAAUCACCUUUGGCAAUGGAUACUUUCCCCUGGCUCAAUGGGAGGGACUCACCCCCAUCCUGCUGUCCCGGAGACCACAAGAAAAACUGCGCUCAGGUGUAGAGCCCAAUUAGCAGGUAAGUUUGGAAGAACACACACAGCGCACACAUUCCUGAGCCAUGAGCGUGGGGCUCUUUGUUUGCCCACUCCUUAUAAGGAGCGAGUUAUCAUCAGUUCUGCAGAAAGGUCACUGCUAUUUCUCUCUCCACAAGUGGCUGAAAUCAGCUUUUUUCCUCAGAGGGGUGGGGCAGUGAUUAAAAGACUAACUAUGCCAGCACUUCACAUGUCCGGCUAUGAGGAUGUUUACAGACCUUGCAACAGAGCUGGGGUUUCUGUCUGAUCCUAGGGACUCUCAGAAGACGCAUUUGGGGAGUCUCCCCUGUGCCGCAGAGGAAGGUCAGCCAAAAGUGUCAUGUCUGCAGCCUGUCGUCAGUCACAAAAGUUGGCCUGGUAGGAGGGGCUGGAGCUGUGUUUUAACCCUCACCGUGUGUCUCUGUGCCUUUCUUCACUGUUGCCUUCACUGAUAACUAGCUCGUGUGCCGUAGUUGUGAGAGUUGCCAAAAUCAAGAUGGAGUCACUUGUGUCAUUCCUAAUAAAUAAGGCCAGGAAGUCCUGAAGGAAUGGUUCUCAUGUACAGUUGCCUGCCAUCACAAAAGAUUCUACGGGACUAUAAACUUGCAUAAAAGGCCACCAUACCCUUACACACACACACACAAAAAAAAAAUACUUAUUUAAGACAUCUGCUCAUAACUGCCCACCCAAACUUGGACUGGUGUCACCCUUGCUAUUAAUCCCUUGUGGUCCAAGAUCAUUGUUUCAAAAUAUCAUAUAGUUCUCAUCAUUUUGCCUUUUAAUUUUUCCCCUUGUCUCCACCUCCUUGGAUACACUCAUUAUGGGCUAUGACACAUGUAUUCCCAUUAUCCUUGCUCUGCUGUUCCCAAAUAAGUAUAUUAGCCUUUUGAGAAUCUCUCUCUGAUUGUUAUUUAGAUUGACAUGAGGUUGAGCAGGUGGUUGCUGCAAGAAGCAGGAGACACGGAAAGUGAGGUCUGAUGCUUUCCCUCCUCUCAGAAGGAUCAGCUCUUUAGCAAGGACUAGAUUCAAAGGCCACCCCUGGAAUCACCAGAGCUCAAGCCUCACCUCAUUGCAGCCCUUAUCCUGCUCCUCUCCUCUCCUCAAGACUCUCAUCCCACCAUCUUGCACCCAAUGCACGACCAGAUGCUCAGCUCUCUGCGGUCUCAUGUGGUUUGUGGUGCUUUCAUGGGUGCUGCCCCCCCACACACACACACACACUGGCCUCUGCCAAAGCCACAGUCCUCGUAAGCAGGUGCUCUAGCUUUCACCUCAUUUGCAACCCUGCAGGGCUCUCUGUGAAAGCUGGUUGAUGGACUGAUGGAAAGUGGAUUUGGCUAUGGAGUCCACAAAGCCUCUCUGAACACACUAUUUUCUAUAGGGUGUUAAGAAUGAGCCUGGGGUUGUUGAGAGCUGGUUAUCUGGAGGCUUCUUGGUCUCCUCCACUCAACAUUUGCUCCUAAUUGUCCCUGGAGAUGAUGAGGCCCAGGAAUUCCACUCUCUGUUCCUUUUGCAGGUGGCCACUUUAAAAAGUCACUUUCCAGAUUCCUCUCCAGGGUCACACCGACCCGACUGCCUGCUGAACUCUACUGUCUGCCCAGCACUGUGCUCAGACAUGUCCUCAGAAACAUUCUGUGUUAAUUCGGGAGUGAAAGUACACACCAAAGUUAUCUCCCCAUCUCGUCCCUCUUUCUUCUAUUUCUUGGGCAUUUUAUAAGUUCUUAUCACAUGUCCAACUUCCUGAUCUUACUUUCCACAGUCUGAGAACUAAGAUCAACUUCCCAAUGUUCCCUUUCUGGUCCUCUGACAUCUUUCAUAGACUCUCCCAGUUGUCUUUUUAUGAGUUUGAUUGUUAACUGCUAUAGAAACAAAUUAAGAAUAGCAACCACAUGGAAGUUGCAAAAGUUCCUGCUGUGGUUUGAAUAUGGUCUGUCUUCCAAAGGUUCAUAGGCUAGUCUCCAAUAUAAUGGCACUGAAAGAUGGUAUGGCCUCUAAGAAGUAAGGCCUAGUGUGUCAGGAAGAGAGGAUUCGCUUCCACCAGAGUGGGUUGUUAUAAAAAAGCAAGCCUGGUCCUUCACUGAUCUGUUGCUGCUUCUCUCACCAUGUAACCUCUUCCACAGGCACCACUCCCUGCUCUUGCACAGUCUGCCACCAUGUGAUACCUUCUACCAUGCUGUGAUUUAGCCAGAAAACCCUCACCAGCAGCCAAACAAAUGGGUUCUGCUUGAUCCUGGACUUUCAGUCUCCAAAAUUGUGAGCUAAAUGAAACUUUUUUCUUUAUAAAAUGUACCCAGUGUCAGGGAUUUUGUUACAGUAACACAAAAUGGGCCAAGAUAUUCCCAAAUCUUUAUAUGGAUGGGAGCUAAAUUGGUGCAACUUUUCUGAACAUCAGAUUGACAAUAUUGCUUUUAAUAGUUCGUGUACUUUAGUUUUUCCUCUUCUCCAUGGUCCUUUGAGACCUGAAAGGGCUAGGUCCAACAGUGGGCAGAUCCCUCAGGCGGCCUACCCAUAGGAAGUUCUCCCAGUGGGAUUCUGGUUCCUGAGAAGACACCCCUGGGAGCUGAGGGACACUCGAGGCUGCAGCCAGAGCUAAGCGGAUGUGCUUUGAAGUAUGAGGCACUGGUAUUUAAAAGAUUAUGGUAUCUGAAAACAUAGUGUUACAAAAGGGAACUUUUGCAAUGACAUUGAAGAUCAUUCCAUUGAUGUUCCUAGAAAAAAAGAUCUCUAAUUUGACUAAUAAGAACAUGAAAGAGCUUAAGAAUUCUACAAAACAGUUGAACAUUUACAUAAAUAGAACAGUUGGACGAGCUAUGAAAUACCCAGAUAAACUAUGUAGGAAAAUCUUUAGCAGAAAGAAAGCUCAUCUUUAUCCAGAUCUUCCUGAUAGGGAAAAAGAAGAAGGAGGAGGAGGAGGAGGCGGAGGAGGAGGAGAAGGAGGCGGAGGAGGAGGAGGAGGAGGAGGAGGAGGAGGAGGAGGAAAUGUCCCCUGCUGAGACCAGGCAAAUAAAGAAAAUGAACUGGCCUAUGCAGGCCACCUGCCUGAGAGAUUCUGACAUGAUAGUUGAAUAGAGCUGGUUAACUCCAGUGAUUCGGAUUACUCACAGACAGAAAGCCCAUCAUUAAAAUAGAUUGUUCUUUUCCCCUGAGGUUUCUCAGGCUCAUGAAAUGAUGACAAAAACAUUGUUCAGCAGGAAUUUAGGAUUGAAUGUAUGUUUACCUUUGCAGAGAAAAAGAAGUGUCUGUGAACUUGCAGCUCACUUGGUGAGGAUAGCAGAUCUUGGAUUUUGAUGGAUUGACUGCUUGCACUCACCAAUAGUUUACAGGAAGAAAAGUAAUAUAUCUCACUUGGCUGCUGAAUAAACUUAUUAUCUCAUGUAAAAUCCUUCAAAGCAAACUUGAGGAACAUGCAGUAGUUUAAACUGGCUUCAAGCCAUGAUUAAAAAAAAAAAAGUUGGUGGUCAGACUAUCAUCAAAACAAAUGAUAAAUUAUGGACAUAUUUCAGAUUUUAAAAUAACAAGUGGACCGUGGAGAUAGAAAAACCAUUUUACUUUGGUUUCAGGAUAUACUUACAGUACAGCUAAAGAUGUAAAUGUUUAUUUAUUUCAGUCGAAUUGAGCGAUUUCAUCUUUGAAAGAGUUAUUUGUUUACUCAAGACAAGCCAGAACUAUAUGAUUUCCAGGAAAAUGUCAUCCAAGAAUUGUGAACUUUGGAAGAAACUGAAACCACAUUUGUCUUUUAAAAGGCACUUAAUAAACUUACAAAUGAAAUGCUAAACAUUCUAUUUCACAUUAAAAUGAAAAAAUAUCCAAAAGAAGUAGCAUCCAAUUCAAUGAGGUGAACAUACAUGAUGAAGAUCAUUUGAUUCUGCUGCACUCAGGAUUUAUAUGGUUAUUUGAUAACAUUGUUUAAGAACUACUCGGUCUUAGUGCAAUCCUGUAUGUUGCUUAAAAAUAUAACUUGUAUUAUGUGAGAAAAUAAUUCAUAGCAUUACUAGGAACCAAAAAGAUCAAUCAUUAUUAAUUUUUUGAAGAUCAUAUUUUAUUAGAAAAUAGUAAAGCAUGUACAGCUAUUUUUGUUGUAGAAAAGAUUCUGAAAGUUUAGAAUUUCUUAAGAAAUAAUCAAUAUUAAAACAUUUUUGUCCACACUGAUACUGCGUAUGAAAAGUGCCUUAAUUAUUAGUAAGUCAAUUUAUUAAGACACCUGUAUCUAUUUUAAAAAUUAUAAAACAAACCAUGUAUCCAUCAUGAAAAAUAAUAGCAGUAAGUCAGAGAUUUACAAUCAUGUAGAAUGUUGUUGAAACUUAUUCCAUACCACUUUUAGAACUGCAGAAUAUUCUUAUUAUCUCUUUUUUUGCCAGAAUCGUCAUGUCAUGUAUGUAUAUUAUCCCUCUAUAAAAGAAAAAGAUGAAUGAAUAUUUGUAUGAAUACUUAAUAAAAAAUAAAUGUG